UUUUAUUUUUUUAAUCUAUAAUUAAACUUUCACACUUUAUUCAAUUUAAUCCUUUUAUCCAAUUAUAUUUAAUUAAGCUAAAUUCACUUAAUUAAACUCUAAUUAACCACUCAAUUAACUUUUUAAAUAUUUUUGAUAAAUAUUUACGGAUCCGUUUUUCAAUAACGGAGACUCGAAAAUACACUUUUUGGAUAACCGUAAAAUUCGGGUCAUUACAGAUUUUGCCCUUAUCGGUGUAAUUGUAAAUGGACGUCAUCCCCCAAGGUUAAUACAGUGCUUCCAAAUUCGUACACCCGAAUGAAGAAGAUGAAACUCAAAAGGAUUGAAAAGAAUGAAUGGUGGAAGGAGGGAGGAAAUAGUGAAAACCAAGAAGAGGUGGAGAACCAACUAGAAAGUAGAGGAAGACUGUGAAAGUGCAUAGAGGAGAAAGGGAGAAAAGAGCUGAAUAAUUUUUUGUACAUUUUGCAAAUGAGGGAAGACUCCCUUUUAUAGCUAAAAUAAAAGGGUUUUACGUCCAAAAAAUAUUUUAAGGGUUCCAUAUUAUUCCCCUAAAUCCACUCACUUUAGUUCCUCCAUACUCACACAUUCAAUUUGAAAUUUAUUAUUUAUAAAUUUUAUGAAACAAUCAAACUUUAGAAAAUGUAAUAGAUAAAAAAAUAUUUUUAUGAUAAAUUCAUACAAACCAUACCUAAAAAGAAACACGCGUGCAUGUGUCGAUGAUAGGAACAUGAAUUGGGUGGGUGGCUGCGGCGGCGACAGCGUGCAUGAAUGGGCUUAGUCUUUUAUUACUCAAUUAGAGUAAACCCAAAAGACUAUAUUUAAACCUUUGUGAAAGCCAAUGUUUUAUCAAUGUGAGAUUUUUGAAAAGAUGAGAAAAAAUGAGUAACAGCGAAAUUAGCUACUUAAGUACUAAUAUUUGUUAAAUUGGCACUAAUACACAGUGAAAUGGGAAAUUCUUCUCUUAACAAGUGAAUGAAUCUAGAACUCGUUAAAAUAGGAGUAAACUCAUAACAAACGACUAAUCUCAGGUCCAAUUGAGUUCCACAAUAGAUCAACAAUUUAGCUAAUAUACCUUGGGAUGCUGGUAAGUGCUCUAGAAAAAUGACCCAACAUCUUUCAUAAAAGUUAACUAAUCCUUCACACUUAUGUAGGUGAUUUCAUCAAGCCUAUCUCAGUAUAGACCACCCGGACCAAGGUUAUGAAAUCAUUAAAAGCAUUUAAUAAGCUCAACCUUUCAGUUUAGAAAUUCGGUGAAUUCAACAAGCCUGUCUCAAUAGAACCACCUAGAGCUUGGGAUAUGAAUUCAUAAAGAACAUUUAGAGGCUUAUCCUAAAAAUUUGGUAGGUUCAUCAAAUCCGUCUCAAUAGGACCACCCAAACCCUGGGCUAUGAACUCAUUAAGAGCAUCUAGUAAUUCAUUUUAUAAAUUUGGUGAAUUUAUCAAGUCUGUCUUAGUAGGAUCACCCAAACUCUGAGUUAUGAACUCAUUAAGAGUAAUGGACUCAUCCUUAUGUAUGUACCAUAGGGAUAAGUAAAUAUGUACUAUAUGAGUGUUUCCAUGGUUUCGUUUGACCACAUUGAACUUAGAAGGCUAAGUUAGGCAUCCACCAUGAAUUUCUCAACCAAUUGGCUUUAGACUCAUUCCCCUCGACAAAUCAAGAACCAUUUUCCUACAUAACCACUCAUGUCUUAUUUGUAUAUGCAUUUUCUUGCCAUUAUAAGCCUGCUUUUAAGCAACACAAAUAGCGGCUUGUGAGUCACAUAAUAAGGACACAAGAGGUGUAGUUUUCUCCCAUAAAGUAAACUCUGCAAGUAGAUUACUGAGCCACUCGACAUCUUGCCCGGUUAAAUCAAGAGUGCCGAAACCAUUUUUUUGAAAACGGGGAUCGACUUUUUGGAAAGCAAAAAUGGAGUCGCCACCGACCCUUUUUUUGAGGUGUAAUCGGAUCACCUUGAAGUUGAUCAUUUUAAUAAAACAUUUGAUUUAUUAAAAUAAUAAUUUUAGGUCUACGAAAAUUGAGAGAAAGGGUUCGGGAGUCGGUUAGGUAUGAGGAAGGAUUAGCACCCUCAUUACGCCCCAAAAUUGGUACCAAAUCGAUUAAAUAACUGUCCUUGUGUCUAAGAUUUAAAAUGUUUUUGAAAUGAGGUUUCUUUUGAUCACAUUUGAAUAACCCGAAUUGGACGUCAAAAUCUUCUUGUUUCAGAGGAAUAUAGCACCACAUCCAGCACGGUAGGAUGCAAUCCUUUAUACCCUCGAAAACACGAUAGAUUUUGACUUCCAAAAAAAUUUAUAAUUUGGAAAUUUCGAAAGGACGCUCAACUAUUUAGUUCAACGAAAAAUCGAAACCCAGCAUAGUAGGGCACGAUUCCUCGAAUUUCCAAACGUUGAACAUUGCCUCGCCUUAGAAAACACGAAUGAAAUUCUGAAGGGAUAUUCGAUUAUUUUGAACAAAUGGGAGAUUGCAACCCAGCACGAUAGGGCGCUAUUCCUCAAAUUGCUAAACAUCGAACAUUUCCUUCAUUUUAAAAAGUUUUUAGAAAACACAAAUGAAAUUCUAAAGAGAUAUUUGAUUAUUUUGAGCAAACGAGAAAUUGCAACCCAGCACAGUAGGGCACGAUUCCUCGAAUUGUCAAACAUCGAACAUCGCCUCCGUCUUAAGGAACAAAUAAUUAUAAAACCAGCUUGAAGUACACUAAUUUAACUUGAAAUAAAAGGGAAUAAUUUUUAAAGAAUUAGAAAUUAUAAAGUGAUAGUUGUAGAUCGGAAUGGAAAUAAAAAAAACACGGGAUGAUAUACAUGUAUGAAGUAUUAUGAUGAAUGAAUGGAGAUAAUAAAAUUCGUUUAAUCAACUAACAAAAUAACAACCGAAUUCCACUAAUCUAAAAAAUUAUCAAUUUCCUAAUCAUGAAUGAAGAAUAAUCAAUUGUGAUACAAAACGAAAAUAAUAAACCACAAUAAUAUAUGUAACCUAACACAACACACUCAAGUGCAAAGCAAAAUGAAAGUUAAAAAAAAAUGUAUAUAUAUGUGUAUAAGACAAAUUUAAAAGGAUGAACACAUAACCUAUAUUACAUGAAUUGUUAAACUAGAAACCUUUUAUAGAAACAAAAUAGAGGUAUACGUAUGACCAUUAAAAUAUAAUUUAAAAUUAAUAUUUAAAUCGAAUGAUAUACGAAAUGUUAAAGGGCAUCGGUUUAAAAUUGACAACUUAUAUAUAAUAAGGGACAAUAAAAAAUUAUGUAUAAAAUAUGCAAAGAUGGUAAAAAAUAUAUAUUAUGAAAUAUAAUUUGAAAAACAUAUUAGAUUUACAAAUCGUGUAUAUAUAUAUAAAUUUAGAAUAAAGUAAAAGGGAAAUGCAUACAUAACUCAAAUUAAUUUUGUCAUAUACUUGCAAAUAUAUAUAUAUAAAAGUGUUUGAAUGAGAUACUAUAUAAUAUAUUAAAAUAAUACGAUAUAAAUAAUUUCGAAGUAACAAUUUUAAAAGCAUAAAAACGAAUUUUAAAACGAUAGUUUAAUCAUUAAAAUAAUAUAUGUACAAAUAUACACAAGGAUAUUUAAAUGAGACAUUAUACAAAAAUAUUAAAAUAACAAAUUUCAAAAAAAUUAUACACAUGUAAAUAAUGCGAAAUAAUUAAAAUAAAUUAAACCACCUAGAUUAAUUUUAAAAUACGAAUAUUUCCUAGUAGAAAGCUCAACUAAAUUAAUAUAUGUACACAAAUGUAUAUAAAAAUUUAUAAACAAAGUGCUAUAUAAAACGUCAAAAUAUUAUGAUGUAAAAGAAUUUUAAAAUGGUGAUUUCAUUAAAAAAAAAGUGGAAUUAAUUAUAAGCAUAUAACAACAUAUAUGAAUAAUAUAUUAUACUCCACAAAGGAUAAUAGCAUACACAUAAAAUGAAUUAACCAAUGCACUAAAAACAUAUCAAAAUGAAUUACAGUAAGCUUCCAAACAUAAGAUAAUAAAAAUAAGAAAGUAACAACAAAACUAAUUUUAUUAUGAGCUUUAUAUGUAUAAUAGUAUACAAGAUAUUGGGAGGAAACUUUAAUCAAAAAUCUUAAACCAUAUAAUAUAAAAAGUUUUGAAAUAAAGAUUUUAUAUAUAAUAAAAAAGGGUAAAAUCAUCAUGAUAGCUAAAAAAGAGUACAUAUGUACUUGUAUAAAAAGUAAGUAUUAAGUGAAUAAAAAAAAAGGAGUUAUACUACCCAAAAGGACUCUAUUAAAACAAAAUUUAACUGAAGAGAUAUUUAAUAAACAAAAUAAACCGCUGAAAUUAAAGGAAGGACUAAAACGCAAUUUGCUUCAACACUCAGGGAUCAAAACAAGAAAUAUACCAACUCUAUGUUUUAGGUUAAGAUACCCUAAAAUCUUUUAUUUGGCUGCUUAAGACAUAUCAAAAAAACAACAGCCCCUUUUUUAUUCAUUCGGCAGAAAUAAAGAAAGCAGCCCCUUCCCCUCAAUUUCUUUUCUCUGCUAGGUUUUCUACCUUCCCCCUUUGAGCCGUCACCAAACCAUCGUGAACCCGCCGUGGCUUCCACCGUAAACGGUGGUCCAAAGCCUCAUGGAACCAGGUUUUUGGCACUUUUAAAGGGAGAUUCAAUGGUAAGGCCUUUCUAGACCGAAGAAAACAAAGGAGAAAGAACCCCCCACCUUCUCCUUGCGUCGAUUCCGACGACAGGAAAGAAAACUCCGGCGACGCAACCCCGGGUUUGGGUAAGUUUUCUUUUUCUCCUUUUAUUUAUAUUUUUGUAAAAAGGGAAUUUAAAAAAGGCAGAAAAAUAAGUAAGUAAAAAAGAAAAACCGAAAGAAAAAGAACAAAAAAACAAGAUCUAAAAUCAACCUUUUUGUUUUUGCUUUUUGAUUCCUUAAUCGUGUGAAAAUACAAUCUUUUCUUGUAUUCAAAAAUCCCCCUUUUUUUACAUUCAUCAUUCGGCCUUUUAAAGCCGAUUACAAAUAUAAAAAAAUGUUUCUACUGCUGUUUGCGUGUUGUGUUUAUCUGCUCUUCUUUGGUCUGUUUUGCAGGGAUGGCAGAGAGUUGGUGGUGGCAGCAGGAUGGGCAUGCUGGUACGGCGGCUAGGGUUUUAGAAAAAUCUAAUUUUCUUUUUUUACUUUUUUUUGUGUUUGGGCUAGGGUUUAGGUUGUUGGGCCUGGACGGAUUUGGCCCAAUACAAAGAGCUAUAAACUCUUAUUUCAUAGUGGAGUGAGCAACACAUGUCUGUUUAGCAGACUUCCAAGAAAUAAUUGCUCCACCUAAAGUAAAACACAUAGCAGCUAUUAGAGUUGACCUCAUCAUUAUCAGAUAAAUCUCCUCAUCUAAAUCACCGUUCAAGAAAGUUGUUUUCACAUUCAUCUGAUGUACAAGUAAGUUGUGAAUGGAAGCUAAAACAAACAAAACAUGAAUGGUUGAGAUCUUAGUAAUGGGAAAGUAUGUAUCGAAAAAAUCAACUCUAAAUUUUUAAGUAAAUCCCUUUACAACUAGUCUUGCCUUAUACGUUUGGAUUGAUCCAUCUGGUCUAAGUUUCUUUCUAAAAACCCAUUUAUUACUAAUAGGUUUACAAUCUUUAGGUAAGUCCACAAACUCCCAAGUAUGAUUAGAAAUAACGAAAUUCUAGCUCAUCGUUAAUAGCAUCUCUCCAAAAACUAGCAUAAAUUGAUUUUACAACUUCAUCAUAUGUUUUUGGAUCCUAUCUAUUAGGAAAGUAUGAGCAGUGAAAUCACUUAUUGAGUCUAAUUCAACAAUUUCAAUUAUAAAAGAAAUAAGGAAGUUAGGAUCAAAACUAGUUAAAGUUUUUUGUCUUUUACUCUUCCUAAGUUCAUCAUCAUAUUGAGAAUCCCUAGCGUGUUUACUAGAAGAGGAAGAAUCAUGUUCAUCUAACUGUAUGUCGUGCAUUAUAGCAUAUUUCUUUAAAGGGAUGAUGUUUUCGAAGAAAAUAACAUCUCUAGAUUCACAAAUAGAAUGAUCAUGCAAUGACAUAAAUUUAUAUGCCGUAUUGUUUAAAACAUUACCAAUAAAAGCUGCAUCAAAAGUAUUGCAGAUUAGGAGCAUAACUUUUCAAUAAUUCAUAUGGGGUGCAAUCUAAUUUUUUUAUGAGGCCCUUUGUUAAGAAUGUGAUUUGUAGAAAAUACGACCUCCAUCCACAUAUUGUCAAACAAGCUAGAACUUAGAAGUAAGACAUUCAUCAUUUCUUUUAAAGUUCUAUUCUUUCUUUCAGCUAUGUCGUUUUGUUGUGGAACAUAAGGGGCAGUGGACUCAUGCAUUAUGUCGUGUUUUUCUCAUACUUCUUUUAGAAAAUUAGUGUUAUAUUCACCACCUCUAUCGGAUCUAACCCGUUUUAUUCUUUUAUUAAGUUGGUUUUCUACUUUUACUUUUAAACAAGGAAUGUUUUAUUAGCUUCAUUUUUUGACCUUAGGAGAUAAAUAUUUGUGUAUCUAGAGUAAUCAUCUACAAAGGUAAUAUAAAAGUAUUUUUCUUCUUUACUCUCUAUGUUUCUAAAAUCUGUUAGAUCUGUGCGAAUUAACUCUAAAAGAACAGUCUUCCUAUUAGCAAUAUGUUUGAAGUGAGGUCUACUAUGCUUUGAUUCAACAUAGAUUUCACAUUUAUUAAAGUUUUUAUCUAGAUUAGGAAACAAUUUCAUUUCUUUAAGCAUUUUAAGGGAGUGAAAGUUCACGUGUCCUAAUCUAGCAUGCCAUAUAUCGAGAGACUCAAGAAUGUAAGCAGAAGUAUAAGUUUUAUUAAUAGCAUUAGACACAGUCUCAAUCACAAACAACCCUUUACUCGGGUAACCUUUUCUCUUAUAGUUUCCAUUACUGGAAAGUACAAGUUUGUCGGAUUCAAAGACUAGUUUAAUGUCUGCCUUAUUUAGAAGUCUACCACUAAUCAAGUUUCUACGUAAAGCAGAAACGUAUAAAACAUUAUUUAAAACAAGUGUUUUGCCAAAAGUAAGCUUAAGUAAAAUCUUUCCUUUAUCGAGUACUUCUGAACUACUAAAGUUACCCAUUUAGACUUGUUCACCUUCAGCUACAUUUUCAAAUUUGAUGAACAUCUCUUUAUUGGAGCAGAAAUGUUUAGAAGCGUUCGUGUCUAUUAUCCACUCAGUGUCAUUUUCCACUACGUUGACCUCGGAGACCACAAUAGUGACCACAUUGUCUAAAUCUUCAAUCAGGUUCGCUAAUGGUUUGUUCUCAUUCUGAUUGUGACUUCUGGAGCGAUCAGAGUUUCGAAAGCAUUGGUAUGCUCCGUGUACUGGCUUACUACAUACAUAGCAACUUAUCAAGUUGUUGGACUUUUGAAUCUUUCCAGGUUUCUUGAAAUUUGCAAGCUUAUUGGAUUGAGACUUGGUUUUCUUCUUUAGACUCCUAUCAUUCUUAAACCAUUGAAGUUUAGGACCAGAAGAAGAUUCCACGAGGUUAGCCUUAAACUUGUCUAAAUCUAUUUUUGGGCCUUGCACUUUUAUUUAAAAUUAAUUAUAUUUCGAAAACAUAUUUAAAUUUGGAUAAUAAUAGAAUUAUUGGACAAAUCUAUUUAAAUUGCAAUUGAAUAAUGAUAAUGAUUCAUUUAUCAUUUAAUUUUGUUUUUAUUUUCUUGAAUAAUUUCAUUAUAGGUUCUGAUCAUAUCUAAUAACCUAUAACUAUCCACAACCCCUCCCCAACCCAUAAAUAGGAAGAUAAUGCACUUUUGUGUACUCGAACCCUCGUCCUCCUGUAUUGGCAACAAUGUCCAUGACAAUCUAGUUAAGACUUAAUCGACAUUUAUCAUUUAAAUUUAAAUAUAACAAAUUUUUUUAUACAAUGAUAUGUAAGAAAUUAAGAAAAAUAUUUAUUAUAUAAAUUUAAAUAUAAAUUAUGUUAAUGCAAAAUUUACCUUCCAACUAUAAUUAAUUUGCAACUUAAGAAAUAAUUGAUAGUUGAUUGAUAUAUUUUUAACUAAAUUAGUAUAUUCUUAUUUUGAUGACUUGUGUGGUUUAUUAGCGACGCAUCUUUAAAGUCAAACAAGCAAAAAUCAACAAAAAAAAAUUGAAUUGAACGCUUUUAAUAUAAUUCAAAUUCCUCUUAUAUAGAAGAUUAGGUCAUAAAAGAACUUUGAUACUAGAGACAUCUCAAACAUUACAAGUAUAAUUAAAAACCUUUUUACUUGACUAUUUUAGUGGAAAGAAGUGGUUAUAAUUGAACAAGUCUUAUUAAAUUCUAUAUAUGCAUGGCAUGAUUAGGUUAAAUAUACACAUUGAGAGAGCAUUUUAUUUAUCUAUAAAAGAACUAUUUAUUUAAUGCAAAAUGUUAACACAUUUGAAGGUAAGAUUAAUUCUGUAGUUGUUUUUUUUAUUGAAAUAGUUGCCAUAACUUCUUGAACUAUUUCAUUGUUGCCUACUUUCAAGUUGGCAUACUUUAGAAUAAAAAUAUUGGAUUAUCUGUUGUGGGAUUAUUAGGAUGAAUUAAAACCCAAAACAUAAAAACUAAUUGAGUUGAAGUUGAAGAAUUGAAGAUUGGUUUCUUGCAUAGAGAUGAUGUAAUGGGCCAAAUCUGCCCGGGCCCAACAACCAAAAACCAAAAUUAAAAAACAAAUAAAAAUUAAACCAAAUUAAAUAUCCACAAGUCCAAAUUACAUAACCCAAUUUCAAACCCAAACCCAAAUAUAAAACCUAAAAACCAAAUUAAUCCUAGCCCAAUACUCAAUGGCCCAACAACUAAUAGAGCCCGAUAGGCCCAAUCCUUUGAAAGUUCUUGGGAACCCUAACCCUAGCCUCAUUUGUUUGGCGCCGCAGCAGCCUCCAGCAUCCUCCAGCACUACCAUCGCUCACGCCUCCACGUCGACACAACCGUACCACCUCUGUACACCGCCACGUACCUGCAAGUAGACAAGCAGACGAUAGCAAAUAGAAACAAAAAACAACAGAAUAGAAAAAGAAGGGGGCUUGUAUUUUUAUUUGGUGGGGAUGAGUGUUCGGAUAUAAAGGAUUCCUUUGAUUUUUGUAAAAAUGGGGGGAUUGAAAAAAAAGAGAAAUCAAUUAAAAAAAUAGUUUACCAAAGGUGAUUCGCUUUUUUCUCUGUUCUUAUUCUUUUUUAUCUUGUUUUGAAUCUACUGGACGAAUCUAAAAAAGGGAGAGUUCAUUUACUGUUUUGGUGUCGAUUUGGUCGACGUUGGCUCCUCCGGUCGAAGGUUGACAGAUCCUUGUGGGUCUGGUUGAAACCGCGACGGUGGUGGAGGCACAUUAUGCGCUGGUUAAGCCCACGAGCCGACCAAAAGUGGAGCACACGCAUAUUAAUAAAAUAGAAAUCAGUUCAAAAGCAGUUUACAAAAAAAAAAAGGAAUAUACUCAGAGGUUAUUAAGGGUGUUUAUUUCUUUUUUCUUCCUUUACUUUGAAUCGAUCCGGAAAAUAUACGAAAAAAGGGGGAAAGAGAGCAAAAAGGGUUGAGAGUACCUUCUCCAGCCACUGUUAUUCGCGUUCGAGAUGGAUUAGCGGCGGGGCUGAUCCAUUUGCGCCCUAGCAAAGAAGGAAGGGAGAAAUCCCUUCUGUUCCAUUCGAUUUUGGGACAGAUGCAUUUGGGGUUUCUUAUGCACAAGCCAAACGACGUCGUUUUAUCUGUGGUGGAACCCGCGCGUUGACCCGACCCACAUUCGGAUCCACGCCUUUGUUUAAAAAAGGGAUAAUUGCAUGAUUUGUCCUUCCCUUUCGCACUACCAUCUGAUCGGGCCCCAAUUUUAAUUUGCUUUAUUUUUAAUUUGUCUUUGUAAUUUGUGCGUGUUUGUACUUUGGUCCGUGCCUCUGCGCCUCGUUUUGGGGGACUCGGGACAUUUGCGAUUUUAAUCCCUGUUUGUUUGGGUGCGUUUAAUUAUGGUCCUCAAUUCUGCUUUAAUAAUUGUAUUUAUUUAUAAAUUGUUCUCUUAAUUUAUUUUUGUUUCAAUUGAGUUUCUUUAGUUUGAUGAUUUUUCUUUUAUAUAUAUUUUUAAAACAUAUUAUUCUUCAUUAUUUUAAAAUUAUUAUAUUGUUUAGUUUGUGAUAUCUUCUAUUCAUAUAUAUAUAUAUUAAGGUUUCUUUGGGUUUUCAAAAUUCAUUUAAUAUUUAUUUUAAAUAAUUCCAUAUGUUAUUAUGUUAUGCAUUAUUUCUCAUAUAAAUAUGUUGUCAAUUUUAUGUACAUAUUUCCCUUUUUUAAUUUAUUCACGUAUAUAUGUAUAUAUAUAUAAAAUUUGUUUAUACACAAUUUAUCUCUUUUAGAGAUCUCAUUUUGGUUUUUUACAUCUUUAUCUAUCACUUUUAUAUAUGUACUAAUUCUAUUAAGCAUUUAUUUUAUGUGUUAAUCAAUUUUAAGGCAAUAUAUUUUGUUUAGAUUAUUUCGCUAUUUCAUAUUUCUUUUCAUGCAAUAUUUAUUUUAGAGCUCCUCCACGAAUUAUGACUUAUCUUCAUUAUGUACUUUACUUCAAAUUCUCUCAUGUGUUGCCUAGUUUUAAAUUUUUUAGGUUAAAAUUAUAUGGUUUCAAAAUUCUUUUUCUUCAUUUAUUUUAAAUCUAUUUAUUAUCAUUCGAAAAUUUGUUUAUAUUAAUUUGCCAUGUAUAUGUUGUUUUAUUAUGUAUUAAUUUGUUAUUCUGUCAUGUAUAUUGUUUAUCCUUUAUUUCUAUUAUAUCUUCAUUAUACAUUGUUUACAUUGACUUUUAUUGUUGCAUGUAUAUCAUCAUCUUUAAGUAGAUAUGUUUUGUUUUUUAAAAUAUUUUUGUAUGUUAUUUGCUCUAAAUUUCUUUUACAAUAUUUAUUUUAAUCUUCAUUUAUAUAUUCUUAGUUUUUUUUUUUAUAUGCAAAUCAUUUCAAACCCUAACAUGCAUAGCUCAUUUUUUUUUAAAUUUUUAUUACUAAUGGUUUUUGAAUUGUUGCACAUUAUGUUGACUCCUAUUAUCCGUAUUAAUUUGUAUAUUAUAUAUUGUUUUUUUUUAGUUUUCAUUUCAUUUCAUACAUAACUACUGCAUAUUGUUUAUUCUUCAUUUGCAUUAUCAUUUUAAUUGUUGUUCAUCUAUAUUUGAAAAUUGGUUGUAUUUCCUUAUAAUAUGUUUCUUUGGUGAAUUAUAUUUUAGUUUCUCAUUAAUGUUCUAAAUGAGAUAUGAACUCAUUGUCAUGCUGUGUAUAUUAAUUCCUUUUUUUAUGUUUAUACUAUUAUUCUUCGCAAAGUAUAUUUUUUGUAUGUACAUUAUCCCAUAUCAUUGUUUUCCACUUGGUUUACAAGAUGCGGUUUUAUAAAGUCCAAAUCUUUAAGAUUAAUUCCAUUUCAUUUCAAGUCAAGUUAUUAAGGCAUUUUAAGCUAGUUUUAUAAUUAUUCAUUUAAAACCCCUUUAAAACGAGGGCGAUAUUCGAUAUUUGGCAAUUCGCGAAAUCGUGCCCUAACGUGUUGGGUUGCAAUUUCUCGUUUGAUCAAAAUAAUCGAAGGUCCCUUUUGAAUUUCACUCACAUUUUCUAAAAACUCUUCAAAACGAAGGUAAUAUUCGAUGUUUGACAAUUCGGGGAAUCAUGCCCUAUCGUGCUGGGUUACGAUUUCCUGUUUGUCCAAAUUGAUCCUUUAGAAUUUCACUCAUACUCUCUAAAUUCGAAAAUAAGGCAAUGUCUGAUACCUAGAAAUUCGAGGAGUCGUGCCCUACUGUGCUGCGUUUCGAUUUUCCCGUUGGACAAGAUAAUUGGUCAUCCUUUUGCGGUUUUCAACAUAUAAAUUUUUGGAAGUCAAAAUUUAUCAUGUUUUCAAGGGCAUAAAGGAUCAUGUCCUAUUGUGCUGGAUGUAAUGCUAUAUUCCUCUUAAGCAAAAGAAUUUUGAUGACCAACCCGGGUUAUUCAAAUGUCAUCGAAAGGGAACCACAUUUCAAAAACGUUUUUAAAUCUUAGACAAAAGGACAGUAUUUAAUCGAUUUGGUACCAAUUUUGGGCGUAGUGAGGGUGCUAAUCCUUCCUCAUGCGUAACCGACUCCGAAACCCGUUUUCUCAUAUUUUCGUAAGACCAAAAUCGUUGUUUUAGUAAAAAAGAAAUGUUUUAUUAAAAUAACUAAAUUUUUAGGUGAUCCAAUCACACCAAAACAAAAGGAUCGGUGGCGACUCCAUAUUUCUAUUUUUCAAAAAGUCGAUCGCCCUUUUUUUUUGCCCUAAAAAGAUGGUUUCGACAGAUGACAUAUUAGUCUUUUAAUCAAUUUGUUCAUUUUCUAUUAGAUUAAUGACAUGUUUAGGUUCAUCUAUUGAUAUAAGUUGUCUUUUUGUAUUACGAUCCGACCAUGUAAUACCGCUUAGUAUUAGUUAAACAUUAGAUAACCAUUAAGCCAAUAUUUACUUUCAUUUUUCUUUGUGCAAAAACCAUUGAGGACAAUAUAUAAAAGGUAUUAAUAUAAUUAAUGAAUAUUAUCAUUAAACCAAUUUGUUCAAAAAAAUAAACCCCAAAUCUAGACCCUUAACUUGAACUUUAAACCCUAAAACCCAAGUUUAAAAUUAGGGGUUCAAGAUUCGGGGUUCAAGUUUGAGGUUUAGGGUCAAAAUUCUGAGCUCAGGGUUCAAGGUUUAGGAUUCUAGGUUCGGGGUAAAAAAUUUCCAACAUUAUAUAUUAAUUACAUGGAAAAAAUUGUUAAAAUGACAUUAGAUAAUUAGAAAGAGACCAUGAGUGAUGUGAUGGAAAGGAUGCAUAAAAUUAUUUUUGAGCUCUCAAAGUAGUUCGGACUCAUUCAAGCCUAAUUUAAAUCAUAAGUACGUUUACAUACCUCUUAAGUCCCUUUUAGUUUAAAAAUUAAAUAAAUUAAUCACUUAGAAAAAAAAAAGGAAAAUGAGAAAAACAUUUGACAUAUGUGUUUCUUGUAGAAAAUUCAUUUCUUUUUCCUUUUAUUACCAGGAUGAUUUUGACAAAAAUCAUUAAUACCAUUAUUAAUUAUUCUUAUUUAUCUAGUUUCAAUUAAUUACUUUUAAUUUUGUAAUAGACAUCAACUUAAUUUUUUUUACCAAAAAUGUAGCAUUCAUAUCGUAUAUCCAUAGAGAGAGUGAGGUGGGGAGAGCCAGAACCACUGUUGUCAUUUUCGCAUGUCACGAAUUUUUUAAAUAUAUUAUAUACCUUAUUCAUUGUUCUAAUUUCCCCUUCUCCGUUUAUUCUUUUUAUUUAUUUAUUUUGGGAUGAGAAAUGAUAAUAUAGGAAAAGAACCACUGUGAAACACACAAAGGAUAAGUGGAUGAGAGUUCCCCAAUACCCCAAAAUAGGAUUUGGUCUCAAUUUCUCACCUCCAAAUGCUCAUCCACUUAAACUUGUAAUUUCCAUAUAAUAUAAUAUAAAUAUAUACUCUUACUUGUUUUAAUAUGGAUCCCAUUUUUUUAAUAUAAAACCUUUUUUUUAAACAUUUUUCAUUGCCAAUCAGUCCCUUACUAAUAAGUAGAGUAUUUCCAUAACUGGUUUAAUUCCCUUCAUGCACUGUGCUCCAUAGUCUUGGAACCCAAGGGUAUGCCUUUUCUCUACCUUAUUUCAUGGUCUUUUGGCCAUGUUGGUUUAGAUAGUAGACUAAAAUAUAUACACUUUCUAUGAUUCUGCUGCAUUAUUCAAUUUUACACUACAUUUCCCCCAUAUAUGUUUUGCUAUGUUAGCUAAAUUUCAGUUUAAGUCUCUGAUAUUGGUGUGUUGGACAUAUAAACUUUAUCCCAAGUUCUUUUCAUAUGUUGGGAUGAUAACUUUUCUAUAUUCAUAUUCAAAUAUAUAUUGAAUAGGAGUAUUUUAGAAUAAAUGAAUUUGACUCAGUAAAUUAUUAUGUAGUUUGUAUUUAUGUUUUUCCAUUGAAUAUUUUGGGUUAAAUAUCUUUCUUUCUUGUUCCUUUUAUCUGAAUUUAUGUUAUUUAAAUUCAAGUUGAAUGUUAAAAUAUGAGUAUGUAUUUAGGACGAAUAUUUCUAACAUAUUUAAAGUAUCCUAUAAUAAAUUCAUAUCUGAAUAUAUAUGAAAUGUAAAUAUUGAAUGAAGAUGCUUAAAGAACAAAUAAAAGUUGGGAGUUAAUUUUCAUGUUAAACAUGUAGUUAAAAGUAUUGAAAAAUGGAAGCAAAUGGCUCACGAAUUCAAUUUCUUAAUUUCAAAGGGUAGAGCCUCAUUUAUUUUAAUUGGUUUUGUAUCUUACAUAUCUUAUCGGGUAAAUUUUAGUAAAAAUUUAUGCUAAUACGAAUCCAAAGAAUUUCUAUUUUUGAAAUUUAAAGGAAUUUUUAAAUAUAUUAAAAGAAAUUCUAAAUACAUAGAAAAUUUUAAAAUAUUUAUAUACACAAUGAACCAUGUCUAUGUCUAUGUCUAUGUGACAUAAGUUGAAUUAGUUUCUUCUCAUCUCUAUAGUUUUAUGCAUGUAUUUGGAACUUUGUUAUAACAUGGUUUAGUUUAAUAUUAUUUUUUUAAAAUAUUUUAAAAUUACUAAAAGAAUAUUUUUAAAAAAAAAUUGAUUUAAUUAUUUAAAUGUUUAUGUAAAGUUAGGUAGAUAAUGAAUGCAAAAAAAAGAUGCUCAUAGUCUAGGUCUUGAAGCCCGACAUUUGAUUGAACUAUUGUCCGUACCAUUCAGUCUGGUUACAUUGUUUUGGUCCCUAAUCCUUACUGGUAUCAUAUGUUUUUUCAGACAGAAGACUCUUUUAACAUUUCACCGCAAAGAUGGAGAUAACAAAUGUGACCGAGUAUCAAGAAAUUGCAAAGCAAAAGUUGCCAAAGAUGGUGUAUGACUACUACGCAUCUGGUGCUGAGGACCAAUGGACAUUGCAUGAGAAUAGAUUUGCUUUCACUAAGAUACUGUGAGCUUUUUUUUUUGAAAACAAAGACCAGAUUGUUCCUUUAUUGCUAAAUGUUUAUGUCUCAAUUUGUUUACAUUCUUUGUUCUUAAGGUUUCGUCCUCGUAUUCUCAUCGAUGUAAGCAAGAUAGACAUGACCACAACUGUGUUGGGUUUCAAGAUAUCAAUGCCUAUCAUGAUUGCCCCAACUGCCUUUCAAAAAAUGGCUCAUCCUGAAGGUAUGGAAUCGGUUUCAUUUUGUUAUUUAGUUCUUGUUUCAUGGAAGCCAAUUUGAGUGAGAUCCCUUUCAAUUUGUGUGACAGGGGAGUAUGCAACAGCUAGGGCUGCAUCUGCUGCUGGAACUAUCAUGGUUUGGUUUCUCAUUCCCGACUUAUUUAACCCCAAUCGUCGAAUGUUUUUAUGCUAAAACCGAUCCAUAACCGGUGACAGUGUUCCAAUUCAUUUUUAACUUGCUUGUUGAUCAUUUCAGACAUUAUCCUCAUGGGCAACUUCUAGUGUUGAGGAGGUUGCUUCGACAGGACCCGGCAUUCGGUUUUUCCAACUCUAUGUAAGUUCAAUAAUGCAUACAUUGGUGUCCUAUAUUUGUACAUCAACUGAUCUUCGAUGUCGAAUCUCAAGGUAUACAAGGACAGGAAUGUAGUUGCACAGCUAGUUAGAAGAGCCGAGAGGGCUGGUUUCAAGGCAAUUGCCCUUACAGUUGAUACUCCGAGACUCGGUCGCCGAGAAGCUGAUAUCAAGAACAGGUAUUAUUGUCUCGCAGUGUCUUCGAGGCUGUUAAGCAUUCUUCGUAAUAUAUUCGAGUUACACUCAAAGAGUCUUAUGUUUCAAAAUUCCCUUGCAGGUUCACUUUACCACCAUUUUUGACAUUGAAGAACUUUGAAGGUUUGGACCUUGGCAAGAUGGAUAAAGUGAGUAGUCCUUUCGACAUUAGUGUUAAAAAAUAUACUAAUGAGAUGAGCAUUUGUUUCCUAUGAUAUUUAACUUGUUAUUGGAGCAUGCAGGCUGAUGACUCGGGUCUUGCUUCGUAUGUUGCCGGACAAAUCGAUCGUUCCCUUAGCUGGAAGGUACGUAUGUGCACAAGCCGAUCCAGGGAUUCUAUCGGUUAAUUUACAAUGUACAUGCUAUAGUUUUGAUUAAACGUGUAAUAAAUGAACUCUAUUGGCUAUGCAUAGGAUGUGAAAUGGCUUCAAACAAUCACUACAUUGCCAAUUCUUGUGAAGGGUGUACUCACUGCUGAAGAUGGUGAGAAAGAACUCGAACCCUUCUCUGUUUCUCCGUUUCGAUAACAUAUACUGGUUUUUUGAACUAUACCUAUGCUUGUCUCACAGCAAGGAUAGCGGUAGAGGCUGGAGCAUCCGGGAUCAUCGUCUCCAACCACGGAGCUCGCCAACUCGAUUAUGUUCCUGCCACUAUCAUGGCCCUGGAAGAGGUAAACAAUGGUUUCAGACAUAGGGAGCACAUUACCAAAAACUUCAUGUUUCACAAAUUAUUGAAACUCUCUCAGGUUGUCAAAGCUGCUCAAGGUCGGGUUCCUGUCUUCUUGGACGGUGGUGUUCGGCGUGGAACCGAUGUUUUUAAAGCUUUGGCAUUGGGAGCCUCUGGUAUAUUUGUAAGUAUAUUACUGUCCUGCCCCUAUAGGGGCUGCACCAUGAAUCUGCAAAAGUUGAUAUUAUACAAUGGUGCAAUAUUAUAACAAUGAUGCUUAAAUCUCAGAUUGGGCGACCAGUGGUGUUCUCAUUGGCUGCUGAAGGAGAAGCUGGCGUGAGGAAAGUGCUUUCGAUGCUGCGUGAGGAGUUCGAGCUAACCAUGGCGUUGAGCGGUUGUCGUUCGCUCAAAGAAAUCACUCGUGACCACAUCGUGACAGAAUGGGACAGUCCUCAUCCUCGUCCGGCCCCGAGACUGUAGAGCGCUAUAUAUUAUGGGCCUGGAACUUUAGCCAAGCAAAUCACAGGAUGAACUUACCCGGAGCUCAAGAGAUAUAUAUAGCAUCCGCAUUGCAUUUAUGGCAUAAAAUUACUCUGUUUUUUUUCUGUGGGAACAUGUUUCUGUUUCAUUGAGUUAAAAGGUUAUGUAAUGAUAAUGUUGGCUACUGCUGCCUUUUCACUGUAUAUUCUUUUCUUAAAAACGAUUUGCUGAUAUGAGUCUUCAUAAAUGAACAUUAAUCAAUAAUUCUGCUUUCUGCUUAAGAUUCAAUAGUUUUCAGUCACCAAAUCAUUUGUAUUUGCAGCAGCACUAUAGUUAAAGAUUUAUGGAAAUAUGCAUUUGGUUCGUUGGUAAUAUGAGUCUUCAUAUUAUGUGUGAUAUAUUUUUCUUAAAAUUAAAUUUUAUUGCGGGUCUCUCUACAUAAAUCCGGUAUUUGUCGCGUGAGAACAAGCAUGGCUGCUGCACAUCAUUCUAAUCAGUAAUGCAUGAUCACAUUCGACCUCAAUUUUUCGAAAUCCUCUGUUUCGGGCCGAGAUUAGUCCCUCAAGAAGAGCUCUAGCUGCUGCUUGAAAAAUACCAGCAACUCCCAGGCAUUUAGCAUAGCCAACAAUCCAACAAGCAUUUGAAUCUCGUAAAACUCCACCACUUGCCGUACCUUUCGUGUCAAAAUCCAUAGAAGCCUCCGAAUUAAGCUUGAUCCAACCAUUCUGGGGUGGUCUCCAAGACUCGCAAGGAUCAUACUGGACGAUAACAUUAUGUUUUGGAAUCGAAACCUGCAGAUUAUGUGCCCAAGCAAGGCUCGACGCUAGCUGAUCUUUGUUGCUGCCACGAUGAGUGUUAGAAUUGUGUGACCCAAAUUCUAAGAGAUUGCUUGCAAGUCAAGUUAAACAAAAAUAUAUUUUCUUUCUAGAAGAUUUAGUAUUUAUUAGUAUAAUAUAUUUAGCAUUUAUUAGUAUAGUUUAUUUGACUUACUAAUUUAGCCUAUAAAUAGGCUCCUUUACAAUCUUAGAAUUAAGAGACACCCAUUAGAUUAGAACUCAUAACACAUUCAGAGAAUUUUGUGUUUACGUUUGAGGGUUCUUUGUUUUUCGGGUUUUCGGGGUUUAGUUUUUAUCUCCAUCUUUUGUACUCUUCAUUCUUUUGCCAUUAUAGUAAAAUUAUCUUUGCCCGUGGUUUUUUAUCCUCUUUUGAGGGGUUUUUCCACGUUAAAUUUGUGUGUUCAUCUUCUCAAUUUCUUCUACUAUUUUUACUUGUUCGUUGCUUAAUCGGGACGAUCCUAACAAGUGGUAUCAGAGCUAGUUUAACUUUCAUAGAUCAGCCCGGUCAGAGAUGGCAGCAACAAGGUUUGAAAUUGAGAAGUUCGAUGGUGAGACAAAUUUCAAUCUGUGGCAAGUUCGGAUGAUGGCAAUUCUAGUUCAAAAUGGCUUGAAAAAGGUUGUUACAGGGAAAAAGCCUGAGAAUCUAAAUCAAACAGAAUGGGAAGAGCUUGAUGAAAAGGCCUUGUCUGUAAUCCAGUUGUGCCUCGCGAAUACAGUAUUGCAGGAGGUAUUGAUGGAGAAGACCUCAUUCGCCUUGUGGAAAAGGUUAGAAACUCUUUAUGCGACUAAGUCUCUGGCUAACCGUUUAGUGUUGAAACAACGUCUAUUUACGUUUCGCAUGAACGAAGGUGAGCUUCUUAAAGAUCACAUCAGUCAAUUCAUUACUCUUUUAAAUGAUUUAAAGAACGUUGAGGUUCAUAUUGACGAUGAAGAUCAAGCUAUGCUAUUAUUGUGCUCUUUACCCUCUUCAUACAAGUCUUUCAGGGAGACCCUGAUUUAUGGCAGAGACAAACUCUCGUUCGAAGAUGUGAAGGGUCAUUUGUUGAGUAGAGACAAACUCGACAAUGAGUUUGAUUUGAAUAGCAAAGCAGAUAGACAAGCUUCCGUUUUGGUAGCAUCAAAGAAACGAGACAAAAGGUGUCACUAUUGCAAAAAGUUAGGUCACGUCAAAGCAGAUUGUUAUAAACUGCGAAAUAAAAGAGCUGCUGAGAGUAACGAGGAAGAUGUAGCUGGUGCUAAUUUGGUCGAUGAAGGCGGUGAUGAUUUCUUGUUAGUGUCAACGAGCGAUAACUCCAAGCUUACGUCUGAGUGGAUCCUAGAUUCAGGAUGUUCUUUCCACAUGUGUCCCAAUAGAGAAUGGUUCUCCACAUACAGUUCAGUUGAAGGUGGAGUUGUGCACAUGGGAAACGAUUCAUCUAGUAAAAUAAUCGGUAUUGGUACUGUUAAAAUUAGGAUACACGAUGGGACGAUUAGGACACUCUCAGAUGUCAGGUAUGUACCUGAUUUACGAAAGAAUCUCAUCUCCUUGAGUAUUUUAGACUUGAAAGGAUGCAGAAUCAACAUCGAGUCGAGCGACAUUAAAGUAUCUCGUGGAGCUCUCGUUUUGUUAAAAGGUAAAAGAACCGGCAGUCUUUAUAUUCUGGAAGGUUCUACAGUGACUGGUGAAAUCGGACGUCCCUCGUCCGUUACGGAGUCAAAGUCAACUCAUUUGAAGCGGAGACAACUUGGUCAUAGGAGGGAAAAAGGUAUGACCGUUUCGUUGAAGAGAGGUUCUCUUUUGGAUGCAGGUUUUGAAAAGUUAGGGCACUGUAUUCGUGAAAAUCAGACCCGGGUUAGUUUUGAUUUGGCAGUGCACAAGUCGAAGGCUAGAAGUCUUCCAGCUUCUAAGCAUAGGUUCGACUCAGUUAAUUCCCUGCAUAGUUCAAGAUAGGCCCGUGGCGGGUUUUGGCAAAGAUGGCAUUGAAAGAAUUUGUGUCAAGGUGGAGAUUGUUAGAAUUGUGUGACCCAAAUUCUAAGAGAUUGCUUGCAAGUCAAGUUAAACAAAAAUAUAUUUUCUUUCUAGAAGAUUUAGUAUUUAUUAGUAUAAUAUAUUUAGCAUUUAUUAGUAUAGUUUAUUUGACUUACUAAUUUAGCCUAUAAAUAGGCUUCUUUACAAUCUUAGAAUUAAGAGACACCCAUUAGAUUAGAACUCAUAACACAUUCAGAGAAUUUUGUGUUUACGUUUGAGGGUUCUUUGUUUUUCGGGUUUUCGGGGUUUAGUUUUUAUCUCCAUCUUUUGUACUCUUCAUUCUUUUGCCAUUAUAGUAAAAUUAUCUUUGCCCGUGGUUUUUUAUCCUCUUUUGAGGGGUUUUUCCACGUUAAAUUUGUGUGUUCAUCUUCUCAAUUUCUUCUACUAUUUUUACUUGUUCGUUGCUUAAUCGGGACGAUCCUAACAAUGAGCAUCCUUAAACACAAAAUCAUUGCUGUUCUUCCAAAUCAUCCGACUAAGAAUAGCAAAUAGUGAGCACCAUCUUGCUCCCUCAAUCAUCUCAUUCAUAUUUAUUAAUAUCUUAUACUUUUUUAACUUGAAUUUAAAAAAAAAACUAAAUAUGAUCUAAAUCUCGAAUGAUGUUACAAUAUUGUACAACAACUAAUUUAUAUCAAUUAAAAUUUUAACUAACAAAUAAUUUUGUUAUAAAAAGAAUUGACUACAUUGUUUUGUCCACCAUCAAUGAAGUAAAAAACAAAAUUUCCACUAGACAAGUGGUACCAUGGUUGCUAGGUAAGACCAUAUAAGCCUUAGUUGGUAGUUUGAAUCCCCAAAGGCAUAUUCUUCAUAAUUAAUAUUAUGCACAAUACUAACAUCUUUUUUGUAAGCUUAUUGGUCGUAUCUCUACCAACCAAACCGCUCCCUAAACUAUGUGAAACCCAUUGGACUCUCUUUGAAGUACGAGGGACAAAAUCACUAAUGUCAUAUAAGGGUAUAGGUUCACAUCCUACCAAGACUAAAUGCUCACAUUUCCAUGUUGGCGAGGCACUCCUUAAAUUCUGUGAACCUAGAUGAGCUCUCUUCGGAACUGGAAGAUAAAACCGAGCAUAGAUACCCCAACACAAUACCUCCAUUGUUGAGGAGUCCGUUAACUCUCCAAAUGACACUUUAAAGACUUCUCCUAGAGCAAGACCAACCGCUCCUCAACAACACUUAACAACAAUAUAUCCACCCAUUUUUCUCCACUAACAAGGAACAAAAUAAUUAUGUUGAUAAUUUUUUUUUUAAAACUAAUGAGUAAAUAUUUGGGGUCACUAAUCACACACAUCUCAUCAUAGGCACCCACUUGAUAAAAGCAUGACAGUCCCAAUUUGUGUUGCCAUUUUGGCAACUUUGAACCUUGUCCUGCUCAACCAUUUAAAUUUGCAUUUAAGCCUCUAAUUUUUCCUCUUGGCUUAAUUGCUUCCAAAAUGGGUAGGCUGCGGUAUUCGUUCUAUCACCAUUUCUAUAUUUUUUGUACUAUUAUUGACAUGUCUACUUCAUUUCAAUUUGCUAGUAAAUUCCUUCUUCACGUUUUUAAUCCUUUACUACUAAAACAUCAUUUUCAUUCAUUAAAUCAUGCACGCACAUAUGGUUUUUUGUUUUUAUUUUUGUAUUCGGAUAUACUUCAAAAACAUUUAUGUAUGCUGGCAACCAUGUGGGUGAGGCAAUGCAUGAUGCAAGCAAUUACAUUUGCAAGUGUUGGUGCCAAAAAUGCUUAAUUUACAAUUUGGUUCUUAAACUAUACUCCUUUUCUCACUUUUGUAUUUAACUUUUUUUUUUACAUAAAUUGAUAUCUAAAGUACAUUUAUUUCUCAAUUCAAUACCUAAAGAAUGCUUCUGUUAUAUUUUUUAGUCCAUUUUUUACAAAGAUUAAAAAAAAAGGUUGGUAAGUUUCACGUGACAUCUUUAUAUAAAAAACAAAUAUUUUCUUUUAUUAAAUGUAAAUCAAUAUUUCAAUUAAAGUACGGAUUGAAGGAUAAGAGAAUAUAUAAAAACUUACAUAGAUAAAAUGAUAUAAUUUAAGAUAUUUUAGUAUUUUAACUAUGAAAGAAAAUUUAUCGAGUUCGAUCAAUAAAGAGUUGACACAUUGCAUAUUGAAUGAAAAAGACCCAAAAGUUUCUUUUUAUGUCAACAUUGAUUUUGAGGGUGGGAAGGGGACCAAUUUUGGUACAUUAAUUGGACAAUCAAUACCAACAAAUUGCCUUUGCUUGUGGAUGAUUCACGGAGGAAAAUAAAUGGAAAUAGUUUUCAAAUGUUUUGGCUAUGUAUAUGGUAUAAUUAAGGUAUUUUUCAUAUUUAUUUUAUAGUUCUACAGCUUAUCGAUUUUUUUGUGAUUUGUAAUUGUCUCUUUCAAUAAUAUUAUUUUUAAAAUUUUAAAAUAUAUUUUAUCUUUAAAAAUAUAAUGUGUAUUAUUACUACACCUAACAAUUAUUGAUGACUUUUAAUAUAUUUCAUAGCAUGUUAUUAUUAUUAGGAGGAGGAGGACAUACCCUCCUUGAAAAGGCAUUCUUCAUUGCCUUAUUCAUCAUUUUCCUUUCACCUGAAAUUUUAUCCUUUUCUUUUUCUUUCUAGCCCUUUCAGUGGUCCAUUAUAAACUGUCUUUUUUUUAAUAUAAAAUAUGUAACCUCACUAUACAAAAAAUGUUGUCAUCAAGGGAUUACAGAUGUUAAAAAAUUCCAACUUUAAAUUUUAGAUUUUUAAAUAUGAUGGGAUGGUUUAAAAUUAAUUAUUUGUUAGAGUCUCUGAACAUCUCACUAAUGGUUGAUAUUCGCAAGUCGACAUUAACAUAACUAUUAACAUCAAGUUUGAUAAGUCGUAAUUUAUACAUAUUUUUAUCCCAUAUUUAGUAUAUUUAUGGAUGAAUUAUCAUUAGAUUUGUGGAAUUCGAUGCCCCUAAUCCUUUAAUUUCAUGUUUUAUGCUUAGGUGAGCAUAGGAGAGUAAAAAGAGUGAGAAACAGGCCAAAAAUGGAGAAAAUGGGUCAACGUAGGAAAUCAACACGGCCUGGACUUCCCCACACGAGUAGACCACACGCCCGUGUCUAUUUAGUAGACUCUAACACGACUUAAGCCACCGCACACGGGCGUGCCCCUGUCGGGCCCAAGUCUAGUUCUAUUUGGAAAAGGCCACUUUUGAGGGUUUGGAAGCAUUCUAAAGCCUAUAUAAACACCCUAGAAGGGCACCUAGAAAACACACGGAGUAGGAGGCAAGGAAUUACUCGAAGAAAGCCGAUUGAUCCAUCUCAGAAGCCGGAUUCUCCUUCAAGACUGAAGAUCUCCCUUCAAUUUCCUUCAAGGGUUUUUAGGUUUUCUUUAUGUUUUGUUAUCAUUAUUCUUCUGAGAUGUUUUCUUUUACACAUAUGAACUAAAUCUCCUAAAUACCUAAGAGGAGUGAAACCUAAGAUGGAUCUUGUUAUUAUUUUUUGAAUUAUAUGAUAAAUACUUGAUUUGAUCUUGAUUAUGUGUUCUUAAUUCUUGCUUUAAUAUUCCAGGAUAUUAAUUCAAGUAUUGAUAUGCUUAUUCAGAGGAGCAAAAGUCCCUGUCUAAGAGUAGAUCUAGCAUAAUUAAGCGGAGUUGAUUGCACCCCUAGACAUAGGGCGACAUAAAUAUGCCGGAUUAGGGUCAAACCUAAUAAGAGAAUCCAUAGAUCGAGUUAAUGCAACACUAGGGGUUCUAAUUAGAAAAAGAUAUCAAUUAAUCAACCUUGGGUUAGACAUUGUUAGUCUCGAGAGAGAUAAUAAUAUAAAUUAGGGAUUUCUACGGAUCGAGUCAAGUGAAUAAAUCGUCUAAUUCAGAGUCAAAUAACAAGUGAAGUCUAGGCCCUUGGGUACUGUCCAAAUCAAUUAGUUUUCCCAAAAGUAUUUCCGCAAUUUACUUUCUGUGCAUUCUUAGUUUAGUUAAUUAGUUUAGAUAAAGCAAAUCCCCUAAUAGUACUUUUAGUUCUUGUGGGUUCGACAUUCUGGUCUUGCUAUAAGCUAUACUACUGUUCGAUAGGUGCGCUUGCCUUUAUCGUGAUAAUAGUUAGUUUUCAAGUACGAUCAAUCAUAAAUAUAAAACUUAUUACGCAACAUCAAAAUUCUAUCCGACUUUCACAUUGAGGUCACUAAUUACUCUGACCCAAGGUUCAAACUUACGAGAUUCGUGGUUUUUCAUUCUAACAAUGUCAUUUCUAUAAUUCAAAUUUGAAUUCUUUCCUUAGAAAUGCGACGUGUUUUAUCAGUUACUAUUGUAUUCAACAUUUGUUAAUAUAUAUAUUUAAUAUUUUUCAAAUACAACAGAGUUAGGUAAAAGUAUCACAGAGACUUUUAUAUUAGGAGUUGAAUUGUAUUUUGUCACCUCUACUUAGAAAAUGGACAAACUAGUCCGUGUACAUUAAAUCAAAGAGCAAACAGAUCAUUCUAUUAAAAUUUCAUCCAUUUUUAUUAUUGAAAACAUAUCAUUAUACAUUAACAUGAUGUACACAUAAUCUGUCACGUAUAACUGUUUGGUUAUUUUGUCAACCAUGCUAGUUUUUAACAGUACAAAUGGAUGAACAUACUGUAAGGCCCAAAUUUUGCCCGGGGCCCAAAAACCAAAUAAAAUAAUUACAAAACCCAUUACCCAGUUGCAAGCCUAAUAAGCCCAAUAAACCAAAUAAAUAAAUACAAAAUAAACCCAAUAACCUAAAACCCUAAAGCCCAAAUCAGCCCACUAUCUUAACUUUUUCAGUAGCCACCCAAACCCUAGCCUCCUCUUAGCUGCCGCUCCUCCCACGAGCACGCGCUUCCACCACUGGCCUCCCCACGCAUGCCCCUCUCCUCCACGCGUCUGACACCCCUCAAAGCCUGCAAACAAGCAAGAAAAGAAGACACAAAAAGACAAAAACCAUGUGCAAACAACAAAGGAUAUAGCAGAGAAAUAGUAGCGAAAUGUAAAGAGAACUAUCGGCUAUAAAGCCUUGGGGGAGAACCGAUUGUAAGGGGGGUUUCCUAAUUCAAAAAGGGGGAAACGGACUGUAAAUAGGGGGACGGAUUGAAAAAAAAAUCAAUUAAAAAAACAGUUUACCGAAGAUGAUUCGCAUUUUUUUCUCUGUUCUUAUUCUUUGUUCUUACUUUAUUUUGAAUCUACUUGACGAAUCUAAAAAAGGAGUUUUUGGUGUCUAUUUAGUCGACGUUGGCUCCUCCGAUCUGAAGGUUGACAGAUCCUUGUGGGUCUGGCUGAAACCACGACGGUGGUGGAGGCGUAUCAUGCGCCGGUGAAACCCAAGAGUUGGCCAAGGUGAAGAAUAGGAGAAAAAGAAAGGAAUUUCGGGGGUUUUUGCUUAGAAAAAUGGUUUUGUAAGCUUUUAAAAAUAUAAAUGUAUAAUAAAAGUUGUAUUAAAUUUGAAGUGAUGCAAUUAAGAGGGUGGAAACCCGCGUGUUGACCUGCUUAUUAGACUGGAAUUGCGCAUUUCCACCUUAAAGGGGGAAUUUGUGCAAACAGUCCCUCCCAUUUGCACCACCUCUAAUUUAAUACUAUUCCAAUUCUUUCAUUUUUGCCCUGAACUUUGCGCGCCACUCCAAUUUAGUCCCCGCUUGAGUGCUGUUUUUUGGGGUUGGGAACAUUGGCACUUUAGCCCUUGUGCGUUCACGCGCAUUCCAUUUUAGUCCUUAAGCCUAUUUCAACUAUUUUAUUAUUUACACUUUAACCCUUUUAUUAUUUAUUUAUUUCAAUUUGUCUUCUUAAUUUUAUUUAAGUUAUAAUUGAGCCCUCUUAUUUUUUUAAUUCAUUUAUUCAUCAGUUUGUCUAUUUACAUGUUUAGUUAUAUAUUAUUCUUUUUUCAUUUUAUUAUUUCAUUCAUUUUCCUAUUUAUAUACUGUUCAAUCACUCAUUUUACUAUUAUUUAAGAUUUUAAAUUUAAAUUUAAUUUAAGUUUAUUUAUUCAUUUAUUUUAUAUUGAUUUUCAUUUCUUAUUACCCGUAUUUCGCUUUAAAAAUGGUUUAUUCUUUUUUAUUUUUCUUGUUGUACCAUCAUUAUCACGUACAUCUAUAUUGUUUAUUUACUUACUAUUUUUCAUGUAUACAUCUCAUCUAUAUUGUUGCUCCAUUCAUUUUUAUAUUUCAUGAUACUUACCUAUUUUUAUCAUAUACAUUUCAUGUUAUUUCAUCUUUUAGUCAAUCUUAUUUAUUUUGUUAAUAUUAUGAUUUGACCAAUAAUAUUAUUUUUAUCGUACUACUAUUGCUAUCAUCGUAUUAUUAAACUAAUUAAUCUUAUAUUGAUUUUGUUACAUUAUAUACUUUUUUCUUUUUGUAUUUAUUUACAUUAUUAUUAUUAUUAUUAUUAUCAUUCUUGAGCAACAUAUACUUUACAUUAUUAUCAAUGUUAAAAAUUUUACAUAUGUUAUUUCUUUUAAACUAUUAUACAAAUUAUUUAUUUUGAGAUUUUUAUAUACGUCUUUUAUUUUAUAUACAUAUAUUGUUCAUUUUAAAUUUCUUAAAUGUCAUUUAAUUAUAUCGUUUUAUAUGAUAAUUGUAUUAAAUUCUCUUUAUUAUUUAGUGUAAACCUUUCUACUAUUAUCAAUUUUAAAAUUUCAUAUGUUAUUUAUAUUAAACUUUUGUAUAUAUCUUUCAUAUGUUAAUGAUUUUAAAUUCUUUUAUUGUUAUUUGUUUUGAACUUUCUAUAUACAUUACUUGUUUUAAUUUUACUUCGGAUUAUAUUUAUAUAUAAAUUUUCAUUUAAACUAUUUUUGUAUAUUGUUUAUUUUAAAUUUCUCAUUUAUACAUUAUUUAUUUUAAGCUCUUUUGUAUGUAUUUGAAAGGGUCCCUUUUUUUAUUUUACUUUGUGAAUUAUUUAUCUUAACUAAUUUAACAUAUUAUUUAUUUGAAAUUUGCUUUUUAUAUUUUAUCCAUGUUAAAUCUUUUUCAUAUGUCAUUUAUUUUGGUAUUACGAGUUUUAAAUCUUAGUUAUUUUAUUUGUUAAUCAAUUUUAAACUUUUAUCCUAUUCACUUUGAAUCAUUUUUCGCAUGUUAUUUUAUUGUUGAUGAGUAUUAAAAAGUAAUAUACAUUAUGAAUAUUGCCAUCACAUACAUUAGAAAUUAUUUAUUGACAUUUUCAUGUUGGGGCAUUCAUUAAUAUUGUAUCUAAUUCAUGUUUCAUUAUUCCAUACGCCAUUUUACACUCUUGUUUAUCUAGUUUAAAUCAUAUCGUGUAUUAAGUCCCAACGUUUUACUCAAUAUGGAUCGUUCUGUUUUUAUUCCAAACAAAAUAAAUACACAUCAUUUUAAAUUGCACAUUUGCUAUUAUUUCAUAAAAGGAAAAUUCUCAAAUAAAAACAAUAUUCCGUAUUCAAAAUUCGGGAAAUCAUGCCCUAACUUACUGGGUUUCGAUUUUUUCUCGUUUAACCCAAAUAACGGCAUGUUCUUUUAAAUCAUAAAACGAGUUUUAAAUAAAAUGCUUACUCUCUGAGAUUUGAGGUGUUGUGUCCUAACUCACUGGAUAUGACAUCUUAUUACCUCGAGAUAAGAUUUUUUGCAAAUAAGGUAAUAUUUCGUGUUUGGAAAUUUCGAGAAAUCGUGCCCUAUGUGUUGGGUUUCGAUUUAUCAUUUGACCGAAUAAACGGAUAUCCUUUUUAAAAUUUCAAUGCAUGAGUUUUGGAAAUCAUGAGAUGAUUUUGGGUAUCGAAGGUUGGAAAUGUCGUGUCCUAUGUGUUGGAUGUGAUAUUUUACCCUUUCGAAAUAAGAGAAUCUUAAUAUCCACUUCAAGUUAGCUAAACAUUCAUAAAAAGGGAUCGUAUUUCAAAAUUUAUUUUAAAUCUUUUCAAUUUUCGAUAUUAAGACAUUAAUUAAUCAAUUAGGUACCAAUUUUGGGCGUUACAAGGGUGCUAAUCCUUCCUCGUACGUAACCGACUCCCGAACCUGUUUUCUCAAAAUUCGUAGACCAAAAUGUCAUUUUAGUAAACUAAAAUGUUUUAUUAAAACAAGGGUGAUCCGAUCACACCCAAUAAAGAUCGGUGGCGACUCCCGUUUUAAUUUUCACUUUCAAAACCAAAGUCGACCCCCCCUUUUUUUUUCAAAAAAUGGUUUCGACACAUACCAAGACUAAUUUUGUCUAAUUUUUUUUACUGAAAAAGAUCAAAUACAAUCUAACUAUUAAUAUAAUCACCUCCAUAAUACUUUUAUCUAUAAUUACCGUAUUUUCUAUCUUUAUUCCACUUAAGAUAUUUUCCAUUUUUAAACACUUUGGAUUUCCAAAUUAAUCAUAUUAGCACAUUCGAGAUGUUAAUAAUAAAUGUAGGGAAAAGUGAUGAAUUGGUUUUGCAUAUAUCAAUGAUUCAAUUCAAUUAAUUUUUUUAAAAAUGUGACAUACAAUCUAUUAAUUAUUUCCAAUUUUCGACCUCCAUUUUACAAAAUCAUGCAUAUUUCAAGCUUCAAGAACAGUCAAUUUUCAAUGAAAAACACAGUUUUAAACUCAUUCUAUUAAGUCAAUUUCAGCUUCGUUAUACCACCAUUGACAACCAUUCAAUUUCAACUUUGUUUUACCAUCAAUUGACAUCCACUGAAUUGAUGGUUAACUUCAUUUAUCCAUUUUAUUUAAUUGUUUAUCUUAAAAUUUUGUUUAUUCAAUUUAUUCAAGUUUUUUUUAAAAGCUUUAAUAUCCUUAUAAAUUACAAAUUUUAAAAAAAUCAAAUUUAAAAUUUGAUUAAUAAUUAAAAGGAGAUUUUAUGUUUUCCCUUGACAAUAAGGCAUUGUUAAUCAAAGAAAAUGACUUCACACAUAAAAUAAGUUGGAGUUGUUGGGGGAGCACAUGAGCUUCAUUUGAAGAAUAAACCAGGACCCAAUUUAAUUGGGGCUGUUUUUCUUGGCUCCCAAAUAGCAGCCUCUGAAUUUCCUUUGACCAUUAUUAAUAUAUGUAGGAUUUAUGUCUUUAAAUUCUUUCCUCCCAUGCACCUACUAAUAAAUACAUUUGUUAAGAUUGAUUUUAAAAAUAUUUUUUCCACAGCAUUUAAUUAGAGUAGAAUCAAUACCAUACAGAGAAAAAUACUUAAAAUUAUUUCAUCCACCAGAUUCAAUGUAAGUUUUUUUGGUUGCAAGAACAAGAAUAGAAAUACAAUACUUAAAAAAAAUACUUAAAGGAUAUUUCGCCCACGACAUUCAAUAUAUAAAUUUUUCUGUUACAAAAACAAGAGCAGGAAUAACAGUCAAACAAAAUCCUUAAGGAUGUUUAGCCCACAACAUUUGGUAAGUUUUGUUAUUGGUUAUAAGAACAAGAGUACAAACAACAACGUUUAGAGAAAAUACUCAAAAUUGCUUCACCGUAUUACCACAUUCAAGAGAGAGAAUCCAUUUAUUUGGAUUAUAUUAAACUUUUAGAUUUAAUUCUCGUGCACAGGAGUCCAUUCCUUUAAGAGGCUCUUAUAAGCAAAUGCAUACAAAUUUAAUAAAUGACCUGAAAUUACAUCUUCUGAAAUAUCUUUUAUUCUCAAUAAAUAUUAAAUUUUCUUUUAAAAUUAAAUUAAAUUCAAUUAAUAAUUCAUGUUUUAUUAAGUCAUUUUUACAAAUUUCUUUGUAGUUUACGAGUUAAUCUUCAUGUAUGAUUUAAUUUCUUUCGUAUAAAUUUCACAAUAUAAUUGUCAUCACCAAUGUAUUAACAUUAUCAUCAAACAAUUAAAACAACCAAACAAUACUCCAAAGGUUUGACAUUCAAAAACCUUGUUCCUAAUAAAUUUAAGUAUGCCGUUGCAAGACUAAGAUAUUUGCUACAAUUGUUACACAUGUAUAUGUAUAUGCAAAUAGCAAUAUGGGGCAGAACAUUAUAGUCAUAUGUUUGAAAAUUGCUUAUUGCAUGUUGAGCAUUGCUCCUAGGAUAUAAAAACAAAACAAGUCCAUCACUUUUGAGUUAUGAGCCAGCACUAAGUUAGCAAUGUAAGUACCUAAAAGACCAACCAAUUCCAAUGAACAUAAUAGAAAGCAAAGGACAUACUGAUCCUACAUGCUAAAAAAAACCACACCAUCAAAACUCAAUAGAUUGAGCAACUUAGCCCAUACCCCCCUUUUUUAUAUAGCUUUGUAGUGGCCAGUAACAAUAAUGGCAACCCCUCCCCAUUUCAUACACUUCGAAAUAACUUUGUAUUGGGUAUAUGGACCAGCCAAGCAUUUCAGCACUACUACUAAAAGCUCUCCCUCAAUAAUUUUCUAGAUAAACCACAAGCAAUGACCCGAAAAUUCGACCCCGCCCCCCAACCGGUCAUCGCAUACAAAUGGAUCGAGUUUCGUUUCCUUCAAUAAAAAUAUCAUCGAUAUUUCUUAAAUGCGAUGUUUUACAUAUGAAAUAGACUGAAGGGGGGGAACCCUUUAUUUCAAUCAAAGGGCUAUCAAAGUUGACUUUAAAAUCAAUCUGUUGUUCCAAUAGGGUCGGAAGCGUGUAAAUUAUUGUACUAAAAAAUCACACAAAGUUCAAUUCCCAGGGAAGAGAGGUGGAUCACAAGGAUCUCUUAAAUACCAAGUCUUUCCUUAGACAGAAUAUCCCUUCUAUAGUAAUUUAAUAGCACAAUUAAAUACUACUAUUAUACCCUCAAAUAUUGAAAGAAAAAUAGGACAAGAAAGAACACAAGAGUUUUAACGAGGUUCGGUAAAUUAUACCUACGUCCUCGGGCACUAACACCAGAUGAUAACUUUACUAUCUUCAAAGUAUUACAAACAAAUAGAAUUCCUUAAGAAUUCUCAAAUGGGAGAAGAGAGAAAACUAAGAGAGAAAGAUUGGUUGGGAUGAAUUGAAAUGAGAAAUGAGAAGGCCUAUUUAUAGUUGAGGUUUAAGGACCAAACAAUAAAUAGCCCAUUAUCUCAAGGACCAAAAAAAAUUAUCCCAUGCCACUUUUUCAAAGUCAAAUUUAGGGUGCUAAACUUGCACCACUUUGUAUUGUUUGCCAUUAAUGUUGUCUCCCAUUAAUGUUAACAAUCUCCACCUUGAAGAUUUGAUUAGGAUAAUCACAUCUUCACACACUUCCUUCAACUCCCCAAAUUCGAUAAAGCUAUCUUUUGUAGUGCCUACAAAUGCACUCUCGGGCGCCAUACACCUGAAGGUGCUCAAAUUCUCAGGAUGUUAAUCAAGUUCAAACAAUGAUUAAACUUGAUUGUUGUUACCACCUUGGUCAUCAUAUCUGCGGGAUUAUCUGCUGUCGGAAUCUUCUGAAGUAGAAUUUUUCCUUUUUCAAAGACUUCCCGCACAAAGUGAUAUCUUACGUCGAUAUGCUUGGUUCUUGAAUGAUAGACUUGAUUUUUCGCUAAAUGAAUAGCGCUCUGACUGUCACAAUAUAAACUUAUGUGACUUUGAACAACUCCUAAGUCUUUCAACAAUCCAUUAAGCCAAAUAGCCUCCUUAACAGCUUCUGUAACUGCCAUAUAUUCUGCCUCUGUAGUAGACACAGCUACUGUAGACUGUAAGGUAGACUUCCAACUUAUUGGGGCUUUCGCAAGAGUAAACAGAUACCCCGUAGUUGAACGACGUUUAUCUAAAUCACCAGCAAAGUCGGAAUCAACAUAUCCAACUACAAACUGACCAAGUGCUUCAUCCUGUUCAAAAAUUAAACCAACAUCUACGGUUUUUCGAAGAUACCGUAGAAUCCAUUUCACAGCUUGCCAAUGUCCUUUUCCAGGAUCAUGCAUAUACCUGCUCACAACUCCAACAGCUUGUGAAAUGUCAGGCCUCGUACACACCAUCGCAUACAUCAAACUCCCAACUGCAUUAGCAUAUGGGACUUUCGCCAUAUAUUCUCUUUCAUCUUCAGUCUUCGGAGAUAAUUGAGCACUAAGUUUCAAAUGAGAAGCAAGUGGGGUACUUACAUGUUUUGUGUUUUCAUUUACACCAAAACAUUGUAAUACCUUUUUCAGAUAUUGCUUCUGAUUUAAACAGAGCUUGCCUCUCGGUCUAUCUCUACUUAUCUCCAUGCCGAGAAUCUUCUUGGCCUCACCUAGAUCUUUCAUCUCGAACUCUUGAUUCAACUGAGCCUUCAGCUUAUCUAUCUCAUUUUGGCUCUUCGAAGCGAUUAACAUAUCAUCAACAUACAAGAGUAGAUAAAUGAAAGAUCCGUCAUGCAGCUUCUGCAAAUAUACACAAUUGUCAUAUUUGCUUCUUGUGUACUUCUGCCUUCUCAUAAAGCUAUCAAAUCGCUUGUACCACUGCCUCGGGGAUUGCUUCAAUCCAUAUAGCGAUUUGUUAAGCUUACAAACCCAAUUUCUACCACCAGCAUCUGUGUAUCCUUCUGGCUGAGUCAUAUAGAUCUCCUCUUCUAACUCACCAUGCAAGAAAGCCGUCUUAACAUCAAGUUGAGCUAGCUCCAAAUUCAACUGUGCUACCAAGGCCAACAAAAUUCUAAUGGAGGAAUGCUUCACAACAGGGGAAAAUACAUCAUUGUAGUCAAUUCCCUCCUUCUGAGCGUAGCCUUUAGCUACCAAUCUUGCCUUGUAGCGAAUAUCCUUCUUGCUAGGAGAUCCAUCUUUCUUUGCGAAUACCCACUUGCAUCCGAUUGCCCUUUUACCUUUCGGUAAUUGCGCCAACUCCCAAGUAUUAUUCUUCCGGAGAGACUGCAUUUCUUCAUCCAUGGCGCUUUUCCAUUUAUCACUUUCUAAGCUUUGCAUUGCUUCUUGAUAAGUGAUAGGAAUAUCAUCAACAACGGGAAGGGCGUAGGCCACUAUAUCAGUAAAUCGAGCAGGUUUACGAAUUUCUCUCCGUGGCCUUGCAACUGCAACUGGUUCUGGUGUACUUAGUGGUUCUUGGGUCAGAACCUCUUCAACCUCUAAUUCCUCCAUUGUGGCUGGAGAAUUAGACUUAUUAACUGGGCAAAUCCCCAUCUGCUCAAACUCCACCUGUUUUGGAGUACACUCCACCUGCUGUGGAGUAUUGCUCGUCUGAAUAUCUUUAUCUGCUACCUUUUUCAAUGUGGUAGAUUCAUCAAAGGUAACAUCUCUGCUACAGAUCAUUUUCUUUGUGCUUAAGCACCAAAGACGAAAUCCCUUCACUCCAGAAGUGAUUCCCAUAAAGAGAGCUUUCUUUGCCCUCGGAUCUAACUUUGACUCCUUCACAUGGUAAUAUGCAGUGGUUCCAAACACAUGUAAGGAAUCAUAAUCUGUAGCCGGUUUUCCAGACCAUACCUCCAUAGGAGUUUUUCUUUCUAAUGCAGAUGAUGGCAAACGAUUAACAAGAUGGCCAGCGUAUGUCACAGCCUCAGCCCAAAAUUGCUUGCCCAACCCAGCAUUGGACAACAUACAUCGAACUUUCUCCAGCAAUGUUCGAUUCAUACGCUCUGCCAAUCCAUUCUGCUGUGGUGUAUCCCUAACUGUGAAGUGUCGAACAAUACCAUACUCUUGGCACACAUCGAAGAACGGAUCACUUUUAUAUUCCCCUCUAUUGUCCGUCCUAAGCCGCUUGAUUUUCUUGCCAGUCUGGUUUUCGAUCAUAGUUUUCCAUUUAAGAAAAACUCCAAGCACUUCAUCUUUAGUUUUCAUGGUAUACACCCAAACUCUUCUGGAAAAGUCAUCAACAAAAGUAACAAAGUAGUGUUUUCCUCCCAAUGAAGGUGUUUUGGAAGGCCCCCACACAUCUGAGUGAAUAUAUUCCAAAAUACCUUUUGUAUUAUGGAUAGCAGUGCCGAAUUUCACUCUCUUUUGCUUUCCCAGAACACAGUGCUCACAAAAUUUUAAUUUGCAAGCCUUUACACCUUUCAACAAUCCUUGCUUUGCCAGAAUUUGCAAGGAUUUUUCGCUGGCAUGUCCCAACUUCAUAUGCCACAACUGCAUUGAGUCCAAGUCUUUGUUACCGGAAGCUGCAGCGACUGCUCCAAUAACUGUACUACCUUGGUAGUAAUACAAGUUAUUUUUCCUGAUGCCCUUCAAUAUCACAAGUGCGCCAGAUGUCACUUUCAAAACCCCAUCUCUCAUAGUAACAACUGAACCAUUGGAUUCCAAGGCUCCCAAUGAGAUGAGAUUUUUCUUCAAACUGGGCACGUACCGAACAUCAGUCAGAACUCUGGUUGAUCCAUCUUUAUUCUUUAAUUGGAUUGAACCUAUCCCAACAGUUUUACAGGCAUUGUCAUUGCCCAUAUAAACAACUCCUCCAUUUAGUUCUACUAAAUCAGAGAACCACUCCCGGUUAGGGGACAUAUGAUAGGUACAACCCGAAUCCAAUAUCCACUCAUCUGAAUGGAACGACGAUGAUGAUGCAACCAGUGAUAGUUCAGAGUCACUAGUAUCAUGCUUAGCAACACAAGCAUCUACAGCAGCUUUUCCCUUAUUCUUCAGCUUUGGACAAUUUUUCUUCCAGUGGCCUUUCUCAUGACAAAAAGCACAUUCAUCUUUCCCGAGUCUGGACUUUGACUUUGAUCUCCCCUUUUGAGUUUUCUUCCGAGUGUAUGAACGACCUCGGACUAGUAAAGCUUCUGUAUCUCUGAUUGAGUUUUUCUGUUUGUCCUUCUUUCUCUGUUCAUAACUGUAUAAGGCCGCACAGACUUCGCUCAGAGAUAUAUCACUCCUGCCAUGAAGUAGAGUAGUUUCUAGGAACUCAAACUCCUCAGGAAGUGACCCCAACAGCAUCAAAGCCAAAUCUUCAUCUUUGAAUGUCUCAUCCAUAUUCAGCAAAUCAGUGACUAACUGAUUAAAUUUGGUGAUGUGAUCAUUCAUUGUGGUACUUGGGACGUAUGUGAAGCGAAACAGUCUUUUCUUCAAGUGGAGCUUAUUUUGACUGUUUUUCUUCAAAAAUUUUUCUUCAAGUGCCACCCACAACUUAUUUGCAGAAGUCUCCUUUGAAAAAGCAUACCUCUGCUCUCGAGAAAGGCAUGAUCGAAUUGUGCCACAUGCCAACCGAUUGAUCGCCUUCCAAUCUUUCUCCUGUACAUCAUCUGGUUUCUCUUCAUCAAUGGCAAUGUCUAGACCCUGCUGAAAAAGGGCAUCUAGAACCUCACUUUGCCACAUACCAAAAUGGCCCGUGCCAUCAAAGAUCUCCACGGCCAAUCUUGCAUUUGCAAUUGUCGGUCUUGUCCACAUGGACGAUGUUGAAGCUCCUACACCGACCGUUUUCUCCAUAAUCUUUCAAUAUACCUAAGGAAAUCUUUUCUGAUGUGGAAGAUCAGUUCAAACUGCAACCACAGAGCAUACUACGAUUAACCUUCGGCUCUUGAUACCACUUGUUGUUCCAAUAGGGUCGGAAGCGUGUAAAUUAUUGUACUAAAAAAUCACACAAAGUUCAAUUCCCAGGGAAGAGAGGUGGAUCACAAGGAUCUCUUAAAUACCAAGUCUUUCCUUAGACAGAAUAUCCCUUCUAUAGUAAUUUAAUAGCACAAUUAAAUACUACUAUUAUACCCUCAAAUAUUGAAAGAAAAAUAGGACAAGAAAGAACACAAGAGUUUUAACGAGGUUCGGUAAAUUAUACCUACGUCCUCGGGCACUAACACCAGAUGAUAACUUUACUAUCUUCAAAGUAUUACAAACAAAUAGAAUUCCUUAAGAAUUCUCAAAUGGGAGAAGAGAGAAAACUAAGAGAGAAAGAUUGGUUGGGAUGAAUUGAAAUGAGAAAUGAGAAGGCCUAUUUAUAGUUGAGGUUUAAGGACCAAACAAUAAAUAGCCCAUUAUCUCAAGGACCAAAAAAAAUUAUCCCAUGCCACUUUUUCAAAGUCAAAUUUAGGGUGCUAAACUUGCACCACUUUGUAUUGUUUGCCAUUAAUGUUGUCUCCCAUUAAUGUUAACACAAUCAACUCUCCCAAGUUGGGAACAUUGAGCAAAUUGUUGAAGGCCACCCUUUAAGCUCUCCCACCCAUUUUUCAAUACCUUACCAGUUGAGUUUAGGCAUCAAAUCAGCUAAAACUUGAAAAACUAGCAAAAGGGUCAUCAGUUAACAACUUGUCCAAUUUGAUGACAUAUAAAAAUUGGAAAUAUAAAGGGUGUCUAAUCUGUCAAUUUAACCCAAUCCCUUGAAUGAUUUAACAUUUAACCGUGCUGUAUUCUCAUUUGUUCAUUGUUCUAAUAAUUGAACUUAAUGUUCUUUUCAAAAACUGACCAACUAUGAACAAAUUGACUUUUUGUCGGUUGUCUAUGCAAUAUAUAUAUAAGCUAGGCACUUUUCUUCUCAAAGUGGAUAUUUAAGUAAUGACACAAUAUAUAUACACUGUAAAUUUUCAAGUAUUCACAAGGAAACACAGAAUUACAGAGAUAAAACAGAGGAAAAUAGUACAUUUUUCCCUGUAAUUUAUGUACUGUUUAAUGAAGAUAAGUGAAAUAAUAAGCAGAAACCAGCUGAGCUUCAAUACUAGCUAAAGCAAAAGCUACAAGCUGGUAUCCCCAAAACCUUUUUCACUUUACAAUAGUGACCAAAAAAGGAGAUUUUUAAAAGUGUAGGGACUAAAAAAAAAACAGGGUUUAAAACAGAGGAAGAGAUUCCGGGGACUAUCCAUGCAAAGCAUCCCUCUGGUAAAACCUCUCCCUUUUUUACAAAAUGGCUGAUGAAAUUAGGCCUGUUUUUCCAAGUCCUUUGAGCUUAUGAAUGUUCCAUGAAAACCGUAUGGAACUCGAGAGGGAAGUUGAACCGUGGCUUCUAGCUUUAAGUCCAUGGCGUUCACAAUUUGCAGUUCCGAUUUCCAAGUCUUCUCGUCGUGAACGAAGGCUAAAAUAUAGCCGUCGUCUUCGUUCUCCGAAUGGGGGUUUCGAGGGAAGAACAAAGGCUCACCACCAUACCUUUGAUCUCCAUAGAUAUACUUGUUAACUUCCCCGGUCGAGAGAUCGACUUUGGCGAAUCCUGACACUUUAGGCCAAGGCUCAGCUAGAGCUAAAUAUGCAAACCGAGUCUUUCUUCCCAGUAAAUUCUUGUUCACCAUCCCUGCUUCCAAGUUCACUUGCUCGGAUUCAGAAAUAAUGGCACGGCGAGUCGAUUUCCCGGUCUUCAAAUUCAAUCUAAUUUCAGACAGAACACUCUUGAGAUUCUCUUCACAUUCAUUGAAAAUGGAAUCUGGGGGUGUCAUGCAAGAACCAAUCACAACAACUUCGUUAGUUUCUGGUUCUUCCCAAGCAUUCCAAAGAUGGAAACAAAAGCAAUCAGGUGCUUCAAUCCAUUUAAUCCCAGAAGCAUCAAUGGCAUUCUUGUUCAAUACCCCAAACCUUGAUACCUUGUUCUUAUCAUACACAACGGGUGAACCACCAUGAACCAUUUCACCCAAUUUGAAAACAACUUGUUGGUCUGGUAUCACCACAAAAUUUUCAGUGAUGGCGAAGUCGUGCAUCAUUGUUGGACCAUCAACUGGGAUUUCAACAUCAGGUGAUUUCUUACCACCGGGUGAAAUUUUAAAGUACUUGAGAUGCGGUUUUUGGAUAACAUCAUAGCUAAGAGCAAAGAAUUCACCAGUUUGUGGAUCAACUUUGGGGUGAGCAAUCAUUGUGGAUUUCAACUGACCAUCAAAAUCGUAUCUGCCAAUGGUUUUCAAGUCACCAGAUGGAGUAAUACGAACAUGGUACGGCAAAUCAUCUUCAGACAUGGCUAGAAGGUGGCCGUUGAAGUAAACAAGUCCCGCGUUAGCAACACCAGUGCCAUGGCUUGGAUCAACGAGUCCACAUAAACCUCGAGCAUAGAAAAGUAACAGUCUAGCUAUGCCUGAAUGACCAUGGAGUUCACCUAUGGCUUUAGGGAAAACAGGACGCCCAAAAGCUCGUUCUUGAACCAAACGGUUGGUUUCAGUGAACCUACAAGCAUAGCUAGCUGAGCCAUUUUUGAACUGAACCGCAUGAACCAUCCCAUCCCCAUCGAAGAAAUGGUGUCCAGCCACCGGUUCAUGAAGCGGGUUGGCACCGUUUCGAGCGUAGACUCCUUGUAUGCAAUCCGGGAUUGUUCCAAUAACGGGAAGCCUUUGUUUAACAGUUUGUUCAGGGACCGGAGCAAAGUUACCGGAAAUUUGUACACCAGGGUCAGCUGUUUUCGGCAAAGGAUGUUGACGCUCAUGAGAAACCAAAGCAUUCUCCACCGCAUCUAAAGCCAUAGCCGCCGCUCUUUGCAAAGGAUUCCAUUGUUGGGAUUGAGUAGUUUUCUCGGUGUUUUUCGUUGGAGGAGUAGAAGAAGGUGAUGGUGGAAAAGCUGGUGAUUGUUGCUUAGGCAAAUGAAGAAUUGAAUGGGUUUGCAAAGAACAUGAAAUGUAGCGCUUUUUAAAACCAAUACAAGAAGAAGAAGAAGACGAAGACUGAGGAGUUGAAACAGGGAGUUUAACCUUAACACAACAGCUCCCACUAGCCACUGAUGCUGCUGUUGAUGAAGCCAUAAGGCUAAGCCAAUUACUAGUGGUUAUGUAGGCUUCGUUAUGAAUGGUGAAACUUGAUUGGUUUUGAAAAAGAAUACAAAAUAAUUAAGACUCAAAGAUUCUAUACUUUUAUGUGUGCUUGAGAAAGACCCUUUUUCUUUUGUAGGUGAAGAGAAAUGGUGAGUGAGUGAGUAUGAAUGAGAAAGGGGAGAGAGAAGAGGGUUUAUAUAGAGAGAGAGAAGAGAAAUAGGUCCACUACAAACAUAUAAGAGGAGACCACGUGUUGCAUUUGAGUAGCAAAACAGGGGCCGACUCUAAUUAAAAAGGUUGAGUGACAAUUUGAAGUGAUUUAAAAAAAAGGUGUUUUGCGGGUCAUAUUGCUUAAUCCUUUGACACGAUCCCCCCUCCCCUCCUAUCUUUUCUUCUCCUUCUAUAAUUUCAUUUUGCAGAAACAUCCCAAACUUUUAUUCCCAUCAAAUUCUAAUUCCAUACCCUUCAUGUUCGAAGCUUUAACUACACUUUACUCUUCACUCAACUCCUUCAUCUUUGUUAUGUAUCAAGUGUAUAUGAAGGAAAAACUUAGUAUGAUGCAUUGUUUGUUUGUUUACUUGGCUUAAAUCCAUUCAACCAUGUUUUUAUUCUAAAAGAAGUAUUAAAUUAAUAUUGUCACAAAUAAUUUAUUUGGGAAAAAAACAAAAGGAAUUUUGUUUAUAAUAAUAACAAUAAUAGUUGAAAAGAAAAAGGGAAUAGGAGGUGAUAUUGGAGCAUUAUAGGGGAGAAGGGGGGGGGGAGGGGGUAGACCACGUCCAACCCCGCGUUUCAUCCUCUAACGAGAGUCGUUUAGAGCAACACGUGGCCUUUGCUGCUUUUCAACUCCUUCCCCCAAAUCUAAGUCACAUCAUUUGUCCCACACGCUUACCCAGUUCCCUCUCCAACAUUACACUAUGCUUUUUUCUUUUUCUUUCUCUUUUUUUAUAUCAUUAAAUUAAUUGCUAACCAACACUUUCUACAUUUACACACUUAUAGAAUCCCGUCCUUCGGCUCAUUGCUUAAUAGUAUUUAUCCUAAUCCCAUUUCCCUUCCCAACAAUACUCUCUACUAAACACAACCCUAAGUUCAACUCUAUUAGUUGAGUGUUCAUCUAUUUCAAGAAUAAUAUAGAUUCAAAUCAUAAUUGUAUAAAAAAAUAUUAAAUAAUACUUUGUACAUUUAGAUUCACUACAAAACUAUGCAUUUGAUCUAUGUUCAUCUCAAUACUUAUGUCAUGAGAAUGUAUGUAGGUAGUGGUUUGCUCCUACUAAUGGUGUGUAAGUUGUAAAAGAAACUUAAAGCUUAACAUUAAAAGUAAGAUUUGAAUAUAGUUGAUUCAUUUAUUUAUUUUAUUAUGUAGUAGUAAAUUUUGCAAUAAUCGGAUUAGAUCAAUCAAUUAAAUUGAAAAAUAUAUUUGAUUUGAAGGGUAUAUAUAAAUAAUAAAAUCGAUCAAUAAAACGAUAGCGAAUUUUUAUUUUUAACUCAAAGAAAUUUUAAUAAAAUUUACUUCUAACUCAAAUAUUAUUUUAAUAAUUAUUUAACUUUUUAUAUUGUUUGUUUUAUAUUAUAUUUUUUUUUAAAAUCACAAUCUAAAAUGAAAAAAUUAAAAAUUUACCUAUUCAAAUUGACCCGAAAAUCCAAUUCAUUCAGUCCAAUAGAACCGAAACUUAAAUAUCUUUUUGACACAGCUUAAAAUGUUUGUUUGUGAAAAAUAUCAAAGUCCAUAAAUAUAAGUGAUGACUCAAUUUGAAUUGUUUAUAUGAAGCAUGUCAUGUGUUACAUCCAUAUUAUAUAUAUAUAACUUGUCAUUCAAUAAUUAAUCAUUACUCUUCAACAAAUUAAACAUAAACUAUCUGUUUGUGCUGAAACUGGUUGUGUUUUUUUUCACUGUCAACAGAUAUUUUUCUCAUGUAAAUUAAUAUUAUAAUGUUUAUAUUUAAUAUAUAAUUCAAGAAAAAUAUUAAAAUUUUCAUUACUUUGGGGUAUUUUAUCUUUCAUAUGAAGCAAAAUCAUUUCUUUCUCUUUUUAUUGGUUCAAAUUAAGGGUGGAUUUAGAUUAGUGUGGGGUGUGAUAUGACAUAUUUAAUUUAUUUUUUAUUUUAUGUUACAUCAUUGUUAUAAUAUCUAAUCUUAUCAUUAUUGUUAUUUUUACAUUAAAUAUAAAUAAAUGUUUCGCGUAUCUAAACUCAACCUAAAAUAUGUGAUUGAGUUAGAAAGGACAAAGUGAAAGGGGUAAAUAGAAAAAUACAGAUGGCAGCAAGGAUGAUAUAUGUAAGAUAGUGUGGAGAAAAUAAUUGAAAUUAAAAGGAAACAUAGAGUAUUAGCCUUACGUAAGACAACAUAAAGUAUUAAAGUUAGUGUCAAUUCCUAUAAAAUAGAAUAAAAAUUUACCCAAAACCCUAGAAAUAUUUUUGGUGUUAUGUGUCAUUCACCACAAAAAAAAAAAAAAACUAUACAAAAAUUGGUCUUAAAUUAAUCGCUUAAUCCAAAAUGGGGAGACAGCAGACAGGUGAUAGUUAGGUACCCUAUUUGACGGCAUUAUCCUUGUAUUUUAUUUUAUUUUUUAAAUUCUAUGAUUGAAAAUUUUGGACGAGUUCAUGGAUUGUUUCAAUUAGGAAUCCAUCAUUUAUAUCAGUUGGGUAUGGAUUUAUGAGAUCGAUAGAAAUUUAGAAUUUUUAUAUUGAAAUGAAAAUCUUAUGGAGAUUGUUGAAUCUAGAACGUUCACUAGAAAUAAAUAAAUGAAUUAGUCUCAAAAUAGGGUAGGUCUUUCUACUAUAAAAUUAGUAUAGGGAUUAUUUCUCUAAAUAUGUAUUUUUUGAAGGGUAUCUCGACAAGUUAAAAGGUCCUUUAUUUUGUACUAAGAUUUAAGUUUUUAGAGCCUAUUUGGAUUAGGGAGGGUAUUAAAGGAUUGAAUUUCAAUAUUAACUUGAUUUAAUUAAAAACUCAAAUAAAACCUUAAUUUAAUUUUUUUCAAAAUAAAUUAAACUCAAGAAAAUUAAGAAUCUUGACAUUUUUUAGUAUCGAGGUCAGUUUAAAACUUAUAAUAGAGUCUUAAUUGUAAAUGUUCUCUUUUAAAAUUAGAUAGAUUUUAAAAAAAAAUUAAAUAACUAUAUUCACUUAAGUGUCGAGGUUCUUUCAAACACUUUGAUGAACCCCUAACCUAAAUUUUAUAAAUAAAUCAUCCCAAUUACUUAAUAGAAAACCAAAAAUAUCUCUCUUAUACAUAUUCUAAACCAUCCUAUAUAUCAAAAAAAUCCCUAAACUUAGAUUUUUUAAGUUUUUAUAAUAGCUAUCUUUUAUCGAUGAUGAUGAUGGUUGAUGAACUACAGUUUUUGUUUCCUUAAACUUUCUAUAUGAUCAUAGUCCCUUUAAUAAUUAAUGUGAUUCAUCUUUAUGCAUUAAUGGUAGAAUACUUAGUUAUAGUCGUAGUUAAGAAUAUGGAUUAAGGGGGAGCAAUUUUCCUUGUUUUAUGAAGAAUAUUUGUUUUGCUCAAAAAUUGUCAUAUAGGGAGACUAUCAAAGGCAGUUUUGGCUUCUAGAUACAACAACAAUUGCAACUUGAGAUAUAGCUAAAAAAAAAAUUAUUAUUUCAAAACAAUAUGAAAGUAGAAAUUAAUUAGCACCCAUAUUUGAUGUUCAAAAGUGAAAAAUCUAAUCGGUAACGAUCGAACCAAAGUCGUUCAAUGUAAUCCAUAUUCUUUUGGGAGAUCAGUAUAGAAUGAGAGAUCUUAUCAAUCAGAUCAUUUUAACUUUUGAUUAUAUUGAAGAUCUCAAUUUUUCUUAACGUUUAUGAAGAUAAUUGAAUAUCUUUAUGGCUGUGUGUUGGGAAAAUAUAAUUGUAAUUUAUUUGUAACUUAUCAAGCCUGAGAACGUUGUAUAUAUGAUGGGCUUGCAUUAGGUAAAAAAAUAUUGAGAGAAAAUACUUCAGUUUUGUGCAUUUUAUAAACUAUUUUUGUAGUGCAGAAAUUGUAAGUAAACACAAGUGAGCCACUUGGUUUACACAAACUUUCAAUGGGAAGGUUUUAGGGGAGAGUAAUUCAUAUUAGAAUAUAAGUGUGAGGUUGCUACAUGGUGUGUAGAACUAAAAUCAUUGCUUAUACUUGCUGAAGAUUAGUAGAUUAGCUCUUUGGGAAAGGCCAUAUAGAUGUAGGAAUAAUCUGAGUUGUGUUACAAAGUUCGUUGUUUCAUUGUUGUUCUUAUAUUCUCUUGCAUGUUCAUCCAAUCACAACUUACCAUAAAUUUGACAGUAUAUACGCUUAGCAAAAUUCAACCAACUUUCAAUCUUGUACCAUUAAGGCACUUUAUUACUCUCUCGGGUUGAUUCUUUGGAAAACAUUACUAACUAAAAGAGAAAAGAUAACAUCACUUUCGCACCAUCUCUAAUUCGUCCGAUGACUCACUUUCUUCCAUAUAUCUUCUAUAAUGGAUCGAAAAAAUUGAAUCAAUAAUCGAAAUUCUCAUCAGUAUUUUUUUAAUCAAAUAUUUUUUUUACAUUAACUAAUUUAGCAUAUCUUCUGGGGAAAGAUUAUGUUUCCUCAAAAGCAUAUAAUUGUCUUUUUAAAAUGGUGGAUUAGAAAUAAAAUAAUAAAUUGUAGGUAAGAGAGAUUCCUCUUCCAAUUAAUUUUCCACCAUGAACAUGGAAGAGGUAAACAAAUUUUUUAACAUAAAACUUCAAAUGAUGUGCUAACAUGUAACAACCAUAUCUCCAUUCACCUUCCUACAAUUAUUAAAAUAAAAAGCAUAUAAAUAUUUCAAUGCAAGAUUGUCUCUUCCCUAAUGUCAUGGAUGACCUUAAACCACUAAAAACCUUACUUUUAUAUUCAUUCACUUUACAAAUAUUAUUAUUAAACUUAAAUUAAAGCUCGACGGUUGGUUAAUUUGUUGAAAGACGACCAAUCUCUUCCAUUUCUUUUUCCAUCACGAAAUCUCUCGUCUUAAUUUAUACUAUAAAAUACAACAUUCUCAAACCCUACAACGUGUCCAUCAAUCACCGCUCGCCUCUUCAUAAUGAUUAGAUCUUGAAAUUUCUAGCUAAAUUAUUUUUUUUAAAAAAAACAUUUAUUUUAUAUGGGAAUUUAAAAUAUAAUUUUAUUAUUUUUAAGUAAAGUGUAAUUUGACCAUUUAUUAAUCUAUAAUUUUAUAAUUUUUUUGCUGUGAGCAUCACCCUUGUAUAAUUAACACAUCACUAACAGAUGCUUUCAACGAUUUGAUCCCAUGACCUAGGUAUGAAAUGAAUACCCACAUUCAAACAUUAGAAAAUUCCCCCUCCAAAUUCUACAUUUUGAUUAAUUUAAUGCAAUGUGAACAUUUUGCCAAACUAAUCAACAGCUUUGUUUAAUUAAAGUAGAAAGAAAGCAACUAAAUUAUGUUAAUUACAACUUAAAACCAUGUUAUUCAACCUACUAUUUACACACUUUUCGUAUGCACGUGCACAUCUGUAAUUUGUGUGUUUUAGAUUUUGGCAAAUAUUUCAUAUAACUUCAUUAUCUAUGUUGUAAUAAUAAUAUGCAUUAUUGGUUGCAUUAAUGUCUGAAAUCAACAGGGGAAAUUAUGAAGGGAAAAUAAAAUUGUUAUAAUUAAUUAUAGAGGUUGAUGAUCCACGAGAGGUACGUGGGGAAUUCACAUGACUAUUAUUACCAAUUUUGUUUGUUUUGUUAAAGAAUAAUUUAAUUUGGACCAAAUCCUCAUGUUACAUAUAAUAAUUAAAUUAGCUAAUCUAUAGGUUCUAAAUUAUUUUACUUAAUCAAUCAUAAAAUAAACGAAAAGUGCAUAUUUAAUAAUAAAUUGAAAAGACUUUUUUUGAAUAUAAUAAUAUGAACUCUUAUCUAAAUAAAUUAUUAAAAUUUAGGGAUUUUCAUUAUUUUACUCAUAAUUUAUUUAUUAGUCAUAUGAUUUUACAAUAAUAGAUAAUGAGAAAAUCGAGAUUUUAGUUAUCAUUGUUCGGAUCAGGCACAUGAUCAGUUCAUUCAGUUCCAGUGAAAUUUUUUGAAUAUUGUUUAUUGUUUAAAAGGAUUAGGUCUAGACUUUAGACUUUAAGUAAUUUCAAGAUUAGAAGAAAUGAUAUAUGAAUUAUAUUUAGUCAGAAAAAAAAUUUGUGUAGUUGAAAGAUUAAGUUAUAUAUUUUUUAAGAGUUAAAAUGUAGUUUUAUUUCUGUAUUUAAGGGUGAGCAAAAUUCGAUUUGAUUUUAUUCGAAAAAUUGAAAAGAAUUUCAAAUUUCGAGUUAAUCAAGUCGAGUCUUUUAAAGUUUUUCGAGCCAGCUCGAAUAAAUAAUUUGAGUUUCGAGUUCGAGUCAAGUUGAAUUCAAAUAAUGCUAAUAACAUAUUGGUGUAAAUAUCUCUUUAGUCCCUAUCAAUUUUGAAAAUAAGCAAUUUGGUCACUCUCAACAAAAGUUACAAAAAACAUUCAAAAUAUUUAUAAAAUUUUUAAAAUAAAAUUCUAAAGAAUAUAUAAAGAAAUUAAAAAAUAUAAAAAAAUUCUAAAAUAAUAAUUUUUUGGACCUGAAUAAGUUAAUUAAUGAUUCAAGUUUAUCAUACUAAAGUAUCUUCUUCUUCUUUCUUUUUUUUCUUAUUUUGCUUCAAAAAGGUUUUCAAAUAUAUAUGUUUCCAAAUUUAUGUGCUCUAACAUGAAAUUAGUUAUACUCUAACAAUAUUUUAAUUUGACAUGUUUACUUUUUUUAAUUUAACUCAAACAAUUUCACUCGAUUCGAUUCGAUUCGACUCGACUCGACUUGAAUUUCAUUUCAUUUCAUUUCACUUGACCCGACUCGAUUCAAAAAAUUUUCAAAUCGAAUUAGGAUGAUAAAAUAGAACUCGUAAACUUGAUUAACUUGAAAUUUUCACUUGAUUCAAUCGAGUGCUUACCCCUACUUGUAUUAAUUUAUAUCAUUAUAGUUUUUAGGAGGACCAAAUCAAAAUUUUAUCAAUUUUAGAAGAUUAAGCUAUAAUUUUAUUAUUUUUAAUAUAUGCUAAACAGAAAAUUACAUAAAUAUAUUUGAAGCUUACUAAUUUACAAUCUUCAAUGAAUUACGAAACAACAUUGUUGCUCGAAAAAUCAGAAUUAAUCCUUUAAAAAAAUCAGUAUGCAAGUGUUAGUAGUUUAAAUGGCACAUGAAAGGGGCAUGGAAAUGGAAAGCAUAUCUCUAAGUAGUAAGAGAUGCAAAUGCAAAACCAUUGGAUCACAUGUCCACGUGGUCACAUGUGCUAUUUAAUUAAAUGCUAUCAACAUAAUUAGUCUUUCAAUUAUUGUCAAGUGGAAAUAAUAGGCAUGUUAAAAAUCUCAUUUUGGGGGUGGGAAGUUCACUAAAUUAAGAAAAAAUCACAUCAAAAUAACAUAAUUCUUAAUAAGAAAAUAACAUAUUUAAAUCUUGAUUGAGUUUUAAUUCGACUGACAUGGACAUUAUUAUCAAUAUAGGAUGACGUGAAUUCGAGUGUGUUAAAACGCAUUAUCUUCCUAUUUAUGAGUUGAGGAGGAGUUAUAAAUAGUUCUGCUUAUUAUGUCAAAAAGAACAAAUAUAAUUAAAAUCCAAGAAUUAAAAAAACAUACAUUAAUUUGGACCCAAAAUUGAUUGGAUAUUAUAAUUUUAAAAUAAUUGUAUUAAUUUAUUUAAAUUGUGUUGUAUUUCGUAUUUGAAUGUUGAUUUCUUUAGUUUUCAAAAUUUCAACUUGAAUUGAUCAUAUUUUAUAAGACAGUUCGAUUAAUAGUAUUGAGAGGUGUGUAAAUAGGCCAAUUUGCCCGGCCCAUUGGAAACCCAAAAGCAAAAUAUAAAAUAAAUAAAUAAUAAUAAAAACCCACAGCCCAUUUACAAAACAAUCCAAAGCCUUAAGGCCCAAACGGCCCAAAAACUAAAACUGCUUCAGCAACCCUAGGUCACCCCUCCUUCAUUUGCGCCGCAACCCCUGUAGCCUCCAGGCGCCGUACAACGCCUCCAGCAACCACACCAAGCCUCCAUAAGCUAACACGACUCCCGUACACACGACAACGCGCCUCCGUAUGCCAGCACAGCACCCGUACCUGAAAGAGAACAAACCACAGCAGCGAGUAGAAACAAAGAAUAAUAUUGUAUAUUUUCGAUUUAUUUUUCUUUCUUUUCGGCUAUAAAAGCCAAGCUUUUAAUCUUUGUAAAGGUUACGCAUACAGAAGCAAUAGAAAACGAAAAAAAGAGGCAAUAUACAAAAAAAAAAAGCAACGAGCAUUCGAAGGUGAUUCCGAUUCCAAUCUCUGAGACUUUUCUUUUAUUCUUGGCGCAGUUCAUUUAUUUCUGAAUUUUCAGUUGUUCUUUCGCAUUUUGAGUGCAUAAAAGAAAAAGGAAAUGAAACCUUACCUAGGGUACUACGUAGAUCUCCUUCUGCUUUGUUGAAGUCGAAGCCAGAAGGAGAUUUUGAGGCUAAAAAUCAUCCUCCGGGCUUGGAUGAGCAGUUCGUUGCCUGGGGGGAUGGGAAUCAUCGGUUUGGGGCGGUGACUUAGGGUUCGGCUAAGGGGAAAAAGAAAGGCUAGGGUUGCAUGAGGGAUUUGGCUGAAUGAAGGCAUGACUAGGCCUUUUUAAGGAAACGAAAACGGCGCCGUUUCAACCAAUUUAAAUGGUUCAAAAAUGACGUCGUUUGGUUGGUGUGCCCGACGACCCGAUCUGGUUCUUCGACCCUCAGGACCCGCGCAUCUUCACGGUGAGGGGUUAUUUGCAAGCUAGAUCCUUCCCCUUUUGCGCCGCAUCUCAAUCAACCCAUCUGCGCUUCUUUUGUUUUUUUUUUCCUAUAAUUUGCGCUUAUUUGCAAUAGGAUCCGUGCCUGAACACAGCACUUUGGGAUCUGGUAUAUUGCCAGUUUUAGUCCCUAGACGUUUCGCGCAUUGAAUAUUGAUCCUUUUAUUGUUUUUUUUAUUUUCGAAUUAUCCCUUUGUUCUAGUUUAAUUUUAAUUAAGUUAUUAUUAUUUUAUAACCCAUUUUCUAUUCUUAAUCAAUUGUUUGUACCUUUUAAAUGACUUUGGUAAUUGUUACUUUGUCAUUGAAA
RNAcentral lists this long non-coding RNA (46734 nucleotides) under Gossypium barbadense (sea-island cotton). RNAcentral describes it as "long non-coding RNA (GBAR_LNC000061)". Lineage: Eukaryota; Viridiplantae; Streptophyta; Magnoliopsida; Malvales; Malvaceae. The record is from RNAcentral.